UGUAUACAUAAGCUGUUUGGAUAAGUUGUCUUUGAAAAAAAUAUCGUAUAAGCUGUUUUGAAUAAGCUGUUUUUUUUAAAAGAGGUCAUAAUAAGUUGUUUUGUAUAAAUAAGCUGUUUUGAAUAAGUUGUUUUUUAAAAAAAGAUCGUAAUAAUUUGUUUUUCAUAAGAUAAGCUGAUUUUUAAAAAGAGGCCGUAAUAAGUUGUUUUGUAUAAAUAAGUUGUUUUUAAAAAGUGAUUGUUAUAAGCUUUUUUUUAUAAAUAAGUUGUUUUUUAAAAAUAGAUCGUAAUAAUUUGUUUUUCAUGAGAUAAGUUGUUUUGAAUAAAUUAGAAGUUAAAUUACGAAGUAUAACAAUGUAUUGAUUUUAAGAGGAAAAAGGGUAAAAUAGUAAAAUUAUAACAUAAGUCAUCUAUCUCCUUACCUUAUUGGCUUUUUAACUCCCAAACAAGGGGAAGGUUUUCCCUCCUUUCUCUCUUCCCUCCCUUUCCUUCCCUUCCCCUCCUUAGGGUCCGUUUGGUUCGCGGGUUUUGAAGUGGAGGGGAGGGGAAGGGAGGAAAUAUUUUAAAAAUUUUGUGUUUGGUUCAAUUUUUAGAAGGGGAGGGGAGGGAGAGGAAGGGGAGCAAAAUCCCUCAUAAGUUCAUUUAUUGCUCCCCCUCAAAUUGGAGUUUUUUGGAGGGGAGGAGAGGGAAAGAGAGAUGAGUUAAUGCAAUUUUAAUUACAUUGACAUAAUUAUCCUCAUGUUUAUUUUUAAAUGACAAAACCGUUCUUAUUAAAAAUUUAAGUGUUUUCAACGUAUUGUUUAUUACCAUAUUUUUUGUAACAUGCCAAUGUAAUUUUUUAUUUUUUUUUAUCGUGAACUGCAUAUUCUUGUCUUCUAAUUUUUUUUUAUGUGAAUUCACUUUUUUGACUAACGUUGCUUUUAUUUUUUUUAUUUUGAUAUAUUUAUUUUAUAGUUUUUAAUUGUAUUAUAUUAAAACAUAAUUAAUAAAAUUUGUAGAAGAUUUUUUUAUAAAUAUAUUUUAAAAAUAAUUUCUAACAAUAAAUUUUUUAUAAAUAUUUUUAUAUUGUACUAUAUUAUUUUAGAAGUGCUCUAAUAUUUAUGAAUACCUAAUAUUUUAUUAGAACUUUUGUGUUUGAUUAUUUAUGGAGUUUUUGGUUACGAGUUUUUAUAUUUAAAUUUUUAUGAAGUGAAUAAUAUAAAAAUCAUGAUAUUGUUUUAAGGUUAGAAGGAUAAAAAAGUAAUUUGGUUUUAAAAUCUCUCCCCUCCCUUUAUGAACCAAACACAUAUUUAAUUAAAAUUCAUUCCCUCCCCUUCCCUCCCAUCAUUUGAACCAAACAUAUAUUUAAUUGAUAUAUCUCCCCUUCCCUUUCCUCCCUUUCCCUCCCCUCCAUUAAAACCCCUCCCCUCCCCUUCCCUCCGUUGAACCAAACAGACCCCCUUUCCUUUCCUUCCUCUCAAAACUCGCAAACAAAGCCUUAGGGAAAAUCAGUUUCUAUAUAUGUGUUUUGGAUUUGAUAUAUCUAAAAUGUGUGUUUGUUUUUUUGCAUCGUUUAGUAGUUUCUUUCAUAUGUUGAAGAAGAUAUAGCUGGAUUACCGGUAGUUUCUUGGGAAGCAAGUAAGAAAGAAACAAUAAUGAAUUGAUUAAAUUUGAUCAUGAAAAUCGUUGACUCUAUUCACUCGUUUCUUUUUUUCACUAUCUUGAAUCAAUGGUGUAAAUUGGGAAAACAUAUUUUCGAAUCUUGUAGUAAGUCUCAUGUGUGCAGUCAUGGAAAUUGAACCACAAUGUUCAAAUGGUUUUAAUUGAUACAAUGAUACAUACACAUCUUUAUAGAUCAUAAAACAAGAAGAUAUAAAAUCAACUUGCAUGAAAAAAGUAUCACACCUUAUGACUAAAUCAAUAAAGACUGUGUUUGUGAGUCUUAUCUAGAAUUUGGUUAGAAUUUAAUAUAUUUUGUAACGAUCACGAUUUGAUGAGUUUAUGCACAUUAGUAGUGUUUUUAUUUUGCAACGAACAAGAUUUUACUUGCUUAUUGGGUUUUGUGGUGUAAGGUACCACUUUUUUGUUGCAUAAUACAGGAAUGAAGAAAUACAUGACUAACCCUGAUGCACAGGUUUUGUAUAAUUUUGUAUAUAAGUAUUAAAUUGACUGUAUUUUUACUUGCAGAGAUACAUUCAGUAUUAUGCUAUGAAAGGACGGCAAAAAGCAACAACUAAACCAAUAAAAAUGAAAAGGAAUUGGUAUGUGGUAAUUGAAAGGAAAAAAAAUCAAAAUGAACUUUUAUGUGGUAACUGAAAUAAAAAAUAAUGUAAAAAAAAACUGUCAUAAAAAAAAAAGGUUAAAUAUGUCUUUGGUCCCUACAUUUUACGCAAUUUUGAGAAUAGUCCUUACAUUUCAAUAAAAAAUUUUAAAAUCCCUACAUUUUUCCUUCGUUAGUGCAAUUGGUCUCUGCCGUCACUGCCAUGUUGAUGAAACACAAGCCAUCAUAACAAGUUCAACCCCACCCCACCAAAUCUCCACCACAUCACCUUCCACACCUGCAACAACAAGCACUUUCAACGAUAACAUCAUCGCUUUCGGCCUCCAAAUCUUCCCCACUAAACCAACAUAUUUCACUGGAAAUGUAACAAACACCGGCGAUCUGCAUCUACGACACUGCGGAGAAAGAUCGUGGUGAAGUUCCCCGUCGUUUUCCUGCGAGAUUGAACCGCCAACAUUGACAUCACGUUAGAAAUUUGACAACAGGGACUAUUUACGCUAACGGAGGAAAAAUGUAGGGAUUUUAAAAACAUUUAUUGAAAUGUAGGGACUAUUCUCAAAAUUGCGUAAAAUGUAGGAACCAAAAACAUAUUUAACCCUAAAAAAAAAGGUUAAAUAUGUUUUUGGUCCCUAUAAAUAUAUCGAUUUUUCAUUUUAGUCCCUCUAAAAUUUCCUUCAACUUUUAGUCCCUCAAAUAUUUUCCAUAUUCACAUUUGGUCCCCCCUUUAAAGUAAACUCAUAUUUUUGAAUAAAAUUUUGCAGAAAAAUUCAUAAUAUUAUAAAAAUCUCUCCCAAAAAAAUAAUUUUUUUUUAACAACACAUGAUUUUAAUAUGAAUUUUUAUAUUUUUGACGGUUAAUAAUUCAUAUUUAAUUUAUGUUUUGUUAAAAAAUUCUAAUAUUUUUGGGGAAAGAUUUUUGGAAUAUUCUACAUAUUUCAUUAAAAAAGUUACUAAAAAAUAGGGAACAAAAGUAGUGAUUGAAAAUUUUAUAAAGACUAAAAGUUGAAAGAAAAUUUUAGAAAAUCUAAAACGAAAAAUUUAAAUAUUUAUAUAGACCAAAAACAUAUUUAACAAAAAAAUCACUAAUAAUGAAAAAAAACUGCUACCCGACAAGGAACUGCUAUGGUAUUAGUGGCUUAAAAGGUUUUGUUACCGUGUACUAUCUAAUAUCUAUUUUGAAAGCAAUAAUAUUUCAACUAAAAUAGAAGUGACUUGGUGGUUAAAGUUAUGAAAUGUUGUCAUAUGAUAUUUGGUACUAUUCCUUCCAAACAACUUUUUUUUCAUAAAAAUUCAAUUAGAACCGCCAAAACAGGCGGAAUUAAUAUUGGGGCAAACUUAUUAAAAUCUUUAUUAUAAUAAAGAUAUGUCCUAUAAUUAAGUCAGAUUUGAUUCAAAUACAUUUUACUUUGUGUAUGUUUUAUGUCUUAAUGUUUGACCAAAUAAAUUUAAUAUAAUAAAGAUAAAGGUAUGUACUGUAAUUAUGUUUUAUUAUAAUAGAGAUAUGCCGUAUAGUUUAGUAAGAUUUGAAUCAAAUAGUAACUCCCUCCCUAAUUAUAAGACCCUUUUGAGAAUUUUUUUUGUUCCUUUUUAUAAGACCCCUUUGCUAUUUCCAACUACAUUAAUUAUUUCUUUACAUACAUGCCCCUAUUUAUUAUACAUCUUUUUCUUCAAUCACCAAUAAAUAACAUGUUGAAAACAUAAACCAAUCCUCUUUCUUAAAGGAUAAAAUUGUAAAAACAAUAGUAAUUACAAAAAUAUUUAAUAUAAAUAUCCACUAUCUUAAUUCCAGUUAUUUUUCCAAAAGGGUCAUAUAAUUAGGGAUGGAGGUAGUACAUUUUAUUUUGUGUGUUUUAUGUCUUAAUGUUUGACCAAAUAAAUUUAAUAUAAUAAAGAUAAAGGUAUUAUGUACUAUAAUUAUGUAAGAUUUGAGUCAAAUACAUUUUAUUUUGUGUAUGUUUUAUACUACCUCCGUUCCUUUUUAAUUGUCACUUUUUGAUAUUUUACAUAAACCAAAACACUCAAUAAAUGUUACUUUUUCCAAUACUUUUUAUCUUAAUGUUUGACCAAAUACAUUUGACUUUUUAGAAAUUUUUUAUAACAAUUUGAUUUUUUUUUUAGCAAUGUGAUAUAUAUAGAAUAUUAUUUAAAUGGGAUGGUUGUACGAAUUAAUUUAAUUACACAAGACUUUGAAUCUAUUUAAAUUUACAUUUAGUUGACUAAGUAUUUGAAUGUUUUCUUUAAAAAAAAUUUAUUAUCGGAGAUCUCAAGCUAAUAUCACUAGGUCAACCCAAAUAUUUAAAAUAUUAUUACAUUUAUGAAGUUUUAUGUAUUUUUUCCUCAAAAUCUUCUAUAAAUACAUAUGUUUUUUCUUCCUACAUAUAUCCAAUAUUAUUCACUUCCAAAGAAAAGAUUAAUAACCAAAGGUGCAAUGUCUCUAUUUAUCCAAAAAAUUAUUUUGCUAUGUGCGUUGAUUUUGUUAUCACUGCACAAUAUUCAUGGAAUACAUGUGAAUAUUCAUAACUCUUUGGAAGGAAGUUUGGACUUAAUUGUUCAUUGCAAAACUAUGGAUGAUGAUUUCGGAGUCCAUCCUCUGCAUCCUGGUGAUAACUAUGGUUUCAGUUUCAAUGAGAAAGUUCUUUUCGACAGCCCUUGCUCCUUUGGAUGGAAUGGUGAGACACAUAGUUUUAAUAUUUACCAUGCCAGUAAUUUACGUAAAAGUAAUUGCGAUGAUUGCAAUUGGAAUAUAUUCAAGUCAGGACCAUGUAGAAUUCAACAACAUGGGGAUCCUAUAUGCUUUCCGUUUGAUAACUGAUCGAUAAUACAUCUUUUUCAUUUUAAUAAAUAUUGUUUUCAAGGUGUAGAGAACUAUUAUCUCAAAUAAAACUUAUAUGCAUCUCUAUUGUUUAUCUUCAAUCUUGUUUGUGUGUUGAUUUUCACUUAUGAAGAAAACUAAUUGAAAAGGAAAUAAAAAGUCACUGGAAAAGUAAUAAACAUACUAUCAAGCUAAAAAUAAGAGCAGAGGCAUCAAGGUGAGGGAAAAAUAGUGAUGCUAUCUAAGAGUAGCACAACAAAAAGUUUCAAUAUCUGCACAAUCUUGUUGUCGUUCAUAGACUUAUUAACACUCCACUCUAAAAAUGGAUCAGAUCAAAGAGUUUUUAAUGGAAACACAAAACAAGUAAGGAAGCAUUGAUCUCAAAACGAUGCCAUCGCAAGCAGCCAAUCACUAAGAUUCUACCGCAUACCACCACCGUCUUCUGUUUUUCUCAUCUUUAUCUAACCAUGUUCAAAACAAAGCAUUUGAUCACAAUUGAUUGGCAAACACAUUGCCCUCAACGACACUGUUUCAGCAAUGAAAUCCAAAUCAAACGACCACAAUGCAAACAGGCAUGAACUCAACAAUCGCCGCAACAGUCUCACCAAUAAUCAAACACAAAACGCAAAAAACUGCACAAAACAAAGCAUAAAUUAAGAAUAUCAAAAAGUGAUUAAUGAGAAUCAAAACUAAAAAAAAUUAAAAAUUAAAACAAACCAGAGUUUUCAAGAGCCAAGUGAUUAUAGUGGUUGAUUCGUUUAGACAAAGUUGAUCUAAUAGAAAUUUACCGCAUACCACUACUACGGCAUAAUGAGCCCUUAGUCCAUUUUUGAAACAGAAAUAAUAUUUGUACAACACCAUUUUAUGAUUACUUUUAGACAAGUCUCUCAUACUCAUAUUGUUUUUUUACUCUCACUUUUUUUUUUUUUUUAUCUAUUGUUUUUAACUAUUAAGAAAGAAAAAAAAUAUUAACUCAAUAAUUGUUUUUAACAUUACUCUUUCCAAAAGUAUCGAUCUUUGUUUAGUAUUACUAAUUUUCAUCGGACAAUUCUUCAAGUUUAAUCAUAUUUUCUUUAUACACAUAUCUCAGCUGUCAAAAAACAUUUUUUACAUAAAAUUAAUAUAUUUCAGUUUUAUAAAAAAAAUCAAUCAAUUACAAUGAUAAAAAAAUGGUCAAUUAUUUAUCCCACAAAAAUGUAAAAAGGAAAAUGAUGAUACAAAUAAUAAAAUAAAUAAACCAAGCUUGUGUGCUGUGUAUGUCUAUUUAAAGGUGGCUAGGUAAGUCACUUAUCUACACCACUCGAGAGUUUCAUUCAAACAGUUUUCAAAAAGGGAAAGGUUCAAGAAAGAGAGAGAGAAAAUGUCUUCAUCUGGAAAUGUGAAAGAGAAAGAGAGUAAGAAUAUGUCUUCUUCUUCAUCAGUUACUGGGAAUGUGAAUGGUGGGGUUACAGAUGAACAAAACAACAGCGAGUCGGUGCUGCGACAAUUCGACCUGAACAUGGAUUAUGGGCCUAGCAUUGGGCUGACGAGGCUGGAACGAUGGGAGCGUGCAAAGAAGUGGGAUAUGAAUCCUCCGCAGGAAAUUAAGGAACUGAUCUUGAAGAGUGGUAAUGAUCAGCAAGAAGGCCUAUGGAACAAACGCGUUUAGAAGGCUUAGAUGUUAGUAUAAUAUAUAAUCUUGUUUCUUGCUGUUAGUUAUAAUAUAAUCUUGUUUCUUUAUGGACCUUUUUGUUUAGAUUUUUCUUAGGGAAAAUCAGUUUCUGUUAGUGUGUUUUGUUUUACAAGUUUUAUCAAAUGUUAAUUGGCUCUUAAGUGAAUGUUGCUGGUUGAUAUGAUAGAAACUUCUAUAUAUGUGUUUUGAAAAAUCAUUUUCUGUUAGUGUGUUUGUUUUUGUGCAUCGUUUAGUAGUUUCUUGGGAAGCAAGUAACAAAGAAACAAUAGUGAAUUGAUUAAAUUUGAUCAUAAAAAUUGUUGACUCUAUUCACCCUUUUCUUUUUUUCACCAUAUUGAAUCAAUGAUGUAAAUUGGGAAAACAUAUUUUCGAAUCUUUUAGAGUCUCAUGUAUGCAGUCACGGAAAUUGAACUACAAUGUUCAAAUGGUUUUAAUUGAUACAUGCAUACACAUGUUUAUAGAUCAUAAAACAAGAAGAUAUAAAAUCAACCCUUGCAUGGAAAAAGUAUCACACCUUAUGACUAAAUCAAUAAAGACUGAGUUUGUGAGUCUUAGCUAGAAUUUGAUUCGAAUUUAACUAGCUUAUUGCAUGAUCAUUAUUAAUAUAUUUUGUAACGAUCACGAUUUGAUGAGUUUAUGCACAUUAGUAGUGUUUUUAUUUUGCAACGAACAAGAUUUUACUUGCUUAUUGGGUUUUGUGGUGUAAGGUACCACUUUUUUGUUGCAUAAUACAGGAAUGAAGAAAUACAUUUUUUUUUUUUUUUGAAUAAGGAAUGAAGAAAUACAUGACUAAUCUUGUUUAUUAGAUUUACAAUUUUUUCUUGGGGAACUGUUACUUCUAAGCAAUUUGGGCCUAAAUCUAUUUUUCUUGUGUCAAUUUGGAUAUAACUUAUCAUUGCAACUAGGAAAAUUUUACUCUGCACUGUUAAUUUUUAAUUCAAGUUAGCUGAGAUAAGUUCAAGUUAGUUGAGAUUAUAAGUAGCUAAAAUUGUUAGUUAAUGUUGUUAGCUAUUUUUGUGCAAGUUAGUUAGUUUUUAAUAAUUACUUGUAGAGCAAGUAAUGUACACAUUUACUGAAAUUUUUUAGGCUUAAUUGAUCUGCCGGUCCCUUAAUUUAUUUCUUUUAUUCAAUUUGGUCCUAUAAGUCUUAACUUUCUCAAACACGUCCCUUAACUGAUUUCUUUUAUUCAAUUUGGUCCAAUUUUGAUAAUUUUAAUCCCAUAAAAAAAAAGACCGUUGAAUUACGGAGGUCUAUCAGAUUUUAUAGUGUAUCAUCAACACCUAAUUUAUUUACUUUCUUCUUCUUCCAUCAUCUUCAUCUUCAUCUUCAUUCAUCCUUCAAUCAUCUUCAUAAAAAACCAAGAUUCAAUUCCAAAUCACACUCUUCCAAUUCCAUUCUCUAGAUUCAUCAUCAAUUCUCAUCUCUGCAAUCCCAAAUUCCCCAAUCCAAUCCAAAUGGUACAAAAAAAAAAAAAAAACCCUUUCCCAUAGCUAAAGAACACCAGCAAGGCAAGAUCCCAAACAAAACAGAACACAAGCUCACAAAACCACCCUUGGAACAUAAACACACCACAAAAGGAGAAGAAACACAAAAAUCAAAAAUCCAUAAAGAAGCAAAACCUCAAUAAAAAUUCCAGAAACAACAACACAUAAACAACAACCUUCAUAACCUCUCAAAUCAAAGAGCUCCAUUUCACGACAAUCAAACACAAAAAUCAAACUCAGUUUUCUGCAUGAACAGCUCCAUUUCACGACAUCCAUUACCAGCUCAAAAUGAAUCGUUACAUUCGAAACCAAACUCAAAAAGGUAGGAGUCAUCCGUGAAAAGCCUUAAAACGUCGUUUUUUUCGCGUCAUCACCGGACUUGUUGUUAUUAUUUGGUUCCAGAUCUGACAGGAGCAAGGAGGGUUUGAGUUUGGGGGAAGAAAGCGGUGGAGUUGAUGAUGAGUGUGAGUGGGUAAAUGGAAUUGAAAUAGAUUUUGAUGGGAAUAUAAAACGGUUUGAAUAUGGAUUGUGGAUGGCUGUCUGGAAUUUUCUUCACAAAAAAGUGACGAGUAUUGGUGAGAAGAAUUUGUUGAUCUUCGAUAUGGGAGGUGAUGAAGGUUGUUGGAGUGUGUUGAUGAUGAUAAAUGAAGAUGACAAUGAUGGUGGUGUAGUGAUUAAAUAAUUGGUUUAAAUUUUUUUGUCCUGGGUUUUAUUGAUGAAGGAUGAAUGGAUGGAGAUGAAGAUGAUGGAAGAAGAAGAAGAAAGUAAAUAAAUUAGGUGUUGAUGAUACACUAUAAAAUCUGAUAGACCUCCGUAAUCCAACGGUCUCUUUUUUUAGGGGAUUAAAAUUAUCAAAAUUGGACCAAAUUGAAUAAAAGAAAUCAGUUAAGGGACGUGUUUGAGAAAGUUAAGACUUAUAUGACCAAAUUGAAUAAAAGAAAUAAAUUAAGGGACCGGCAGAUCAAUUAAGCCAACUUUUUAAAAGAUAAUAAACCUUCAUUGAAAAAAACACAUAUUCUUGAUCCAUUUGUUUUAGUAGUGAUACAUGGACACUCAUAUAUAGGGUAUACCCAUUUUAUACCAUUGAGCACCUUCUUAUCGGGUACAUGAUACAUCCAUUUGACUACAAAUUUAGGUGAUUUGGAACAUCUGCAACAAACUACAAAUGAUCCAAAUUCAAAUAUAUGUCACUAAGUGUAGCUAAAAGUUAGCCAACAAAUAUACUAAAUUAGUACAACUAUACAAUACAUGCUUAAAACUACUACGAUAGUGAAUGAAGUAUAAUCAAAAUAAAUUAUCAGAAGUCAGAACAGAGCUAAUGGUAGUUCUAAAGAUUAAAUCUAAGGAAAAAUUUCCUUUAAUAUUGUGACUUAUCUAAACUGAAAAUGCUUGUGUCCCAUAACUUUAUCUCCAUGAAAUGUUUUAUGAUUUGCAGAUGGCAAAACAAGGUUAGACUUGUAUGCCUUUGAUACAAUAUUAAAUAUUUGUGCCAAGCUUGGUUGCUCUUUGCUUGAUUGGUCUAUGCACAUUAAUCCUAGGGAUAAAGCCUGUUUAACUUGAUGCAAAGUUGUUUCAGUAACAUUUAUUCUCUCAUCAACCAUUUGUUGCAUUUCUGAAAGACGAAGAGUUCUCAUGUAGCUAAUAAAACCGGCAUCAUCUCCAUCAAAGUCCUCUUGAACGCUCUUGUUUAGUAUCAUCUCCAGCAGAAAUACUCCAAACUUACACACCUCUAUAAUAUAAUAAAAGUAAUUAAUUCAAUAACGAUAUAAGACAUAAAAACAAGGAAAAGGAAAAAAGAAAAAAUAUCAUUUUGGAAGAAAUCUUGAUUGCGCAUGGUAAUUGUCUAUUACUAGCAGAAAGACGCGCACAUUCCUAUUCAUAUUUUUUGUUUUUGACAUUAUGUGUAUAUUUGAAGUGUGGAGGGUAAUCUGCCUUAAUCUAACGUGCGACUCUCAACUAUUUGAAAGAAAUUGUGCGCACCAAAACAUGAUAUUGCCAUUAUAAAUUAAUAAAGUGAUAGAGAUUCUUACUUCUUCUACUGUUGUUUCUUUCUCCAACUUGAAACCUUGAAAUCAAUGGUUCUAGUUUAUCAGAUAACAAAACACUACUUGUCUUGAGAUCGUAAUCAACUUCAGGCCACUCCUCAUGAAGAUAUAGCAUGCAUUCAACAACUCCCAUCAAAACUUUCACUCUAUGAUUCCAUGAUGGACUUGCCCCUGAUAGCCACAUUUCAACAUUUUCUUCUUCUGUCCAUUCUGUUAUAAUAGCCCUGAAUUUUCUACCUUUACACCAUCCUAAAACCUUAACAAGAUUCUUGUGAUUUAACUCAGACAGAAUCUUGCAUUCCUCAACAAAUUUAUGAUAGCUAUCCCUUGAUAUAUCAUCCCAAUACAUCUCAAUUUUCACUUCAGUUGCAUCUCUUAACACCCCUUUGUAGAUAUGGACAAUAUCACUCUUACCAACCAAAUUUUUGUUCGAAAAACCACAAGUUGCAGCCUCAAGAAUUGCUGGUGUAAAUGUAUAUCCUCUACUACUUUGAAGUAUUCUUGGCAGAAAAUCAGGUCUUUGAAAACAAAGCCAUCCCAAGAAAAUUACCAUCAAAAUGACAAGAAUAGGAAAACCAACCAAUAAAAUGAUAGCUUUUAUAGUAAACUUUUUGUGAUCAACAAGAGCACCAGAAUGAAGAAAACUAGAAGCAUUAAACUUUUUGAAGAAUUGUGAAUCAGAAAUUUCACUCUCUGAGAAACAGUUAUAAGAAAGGUUAAGAAAAGUGAGGUUAGUUAGUGAAGAGAAACUUUGAAUUGGAAUUUCACCAGAAAACUCAUUGAUACCUAAAUCAAGAGACUGAAUUUGUGUGCAAUAAAGAACAUCAUUUGGAAAACCACCCUUUAUAGAAUUGUUGGAGAAAUCAAUGGAUUGAAUACUCAAAGGACAAUAUUUCCAAAAGAAAGUGAAAGACAAGUAAAGAGAUGCAAUGUUUGGCCGGUUACGAAGAUCAAUUUUAGGAAAUGAUUCAACACAAUUGGGGUUGUUAGAUUCAUUGCAUAGAUGACUAGCAACAAUAGUGUGUUUGAAUAUUUCAUCAAGGUCAACCAUGGGGGAGGAAGUGCAGUAUCUGAGAGAAGGGUUUUUGAGACAGUUGUUGAAAAUGGUAGUGUUGAAAUCUGGUGGUUUGUGUAAGUUUUUGAGGUCUUCUAGGACAGUUGCACAUAAUGUUGUUUUAGGACAUAACAACGAUGAUAAAAUUAUAGGAACAAAGAUGAAGCAAGUUGAUGAAAUGGUGGUAGCCAUGAUUAUGAAUGUGUUACUAUCUAGGAUGGAUGAUUUCAGAACAACAACUGGUAAAGGAAACUAAUUUAGUGAUGAUGUGGAAUAACUGUCAUUAUUGUCACUUGUUGCAACCGUAACCCAAUACAGAACUGUAAGGACUAAACAAAUUAGUAGUGAUUAAAUAGUCAAUUUCCCCCCUGAAAUUGUAAGUAUCGUCAAUUACCCCCCGAAAUUAACAAAACUUCAAUUAUCACCCUGAAAUUGCAUAACGUUAAUCAAUUUACCCCUCCGUCAAAUUUUUUUGUUAACUGUUUACGGUUAUGAUCAAAUACCCCCUGAAAUUUUGCACUUAUGCGCAAAAUGUCCCAUAAACUUAAAAAUUUAGAUUUUUUUCUUAUCAAAAAUCAUACAUUUAGUUCUUCAAGUAGUAUAUUGUACCUAUUGUCAUAAAUAUUCUAUUCACAAAAAAAUGAAUGAAUAUAUGCCAAAGAAAUCAUGGUUUUGUCAUGUGGAGUCUUUUCAUUUAUAUUUCAUAUUUAUCAACAAGUCUUGUUUCUUCUUCCUUCUGCAGAUAUAAACAUAUGCAUUUUCUUUAUGGACACACAAUUAUCAAAGACUUGUGUACUUUAUGACUACAUACUCUAACAUAAUUACCAACUUGUGUAAAAAAAAAAAAAACUUCUAUAUAUGUAUAUAUUUAAAACACAUGAGAGUAACAUAUCUUCUAUAAAGAUUUAUAUGACCAAUAGCUCCAUAAACAUACAUUACAUACAUAUUUAUAUGAUCAAUAAUUGUUAAUUUGUUUACCUUUAAUAUAUUUUUAGUCAAGGAUAAAAAAAUAUAAAUUUUUAAGUUUAGAGGGCAUUUUGCACAUAAGUGCAAAAUUUCAGGGGGUAUUUGAUCAUAACCGUAAACAGUUAACAGAAAAAUUUGACGGAGUGGUAAAUUGAUUAACGUUAUGCAAUUUCAUGAGGGUAAUUGAAGUUUUGUUAAUUUUAGAAGAAUAAUUGACGAAACCUACAAUUUCAAGGGAAAAAUUGACUAUUUACUCAAUUAGUAGUAGUAUUCUUUCAAAAAAAAUUAGCAGUAUAGUAUAUUUUUUGCUAACGCUGCUUCAAAUAAGUAAUAUUAGGUGAGAUUUAAGUCUGGACUUAAAUCAAUAUAAGAGAAUUAAUAUUAAUAUUUUGAUAACUCAUAGAAAUUAGUCUUUGACAACCCCCCACCCCCCCCGUGACUUCAAGUUAUAAAUAUUAUAAAACCUUUUUGAUAGAGGGGUGGAAAUGGUUUAGUAAAAAAAAAUAGAAAUUGAACUGAAUAUAUAACCUUUUUUAUUUUCAUUAUUUUACUUUGUUUUAAUCAUUAUAAAUGUAGGAUACUAAUUAAUUACGAGGAAGGUCAUCAACGCAUAUUUUUCAACACAUUUUCUUUGAUUGGUUAAAAUUCACAUGAGUCCCCAAAUUAUGUGGGUUCCAUAUAAAUUUGUUGGGUCUCAUGUGAAUUUUAACAAAUCAAAGACAAUGUGUUAAAAUGUGUGUUGCUAGCAUUUCUCUACUAAUUAUAUAUAUGAUAAUAAUUGAAAAAAUAUCAUUAUAACGAUAACUAAAUAAUAAUAUUAAAAUUGUUCCAAAAAAUAGUAAUAUUAAAAAACUUAUAACAAUAAUUUUGAAUAAAACAUUCAUUUCAUUAAUGAUUAUUAGUGGAUUGAUAUACGCCGACCGAAUAAAGAACAAAUAUAUAUGCAUUAACAAGUUUGAUCUUUGGCAAAAUGUGGACUGGUAUAGGUCAAUUGAAUAAAGAACAAACGUCUAAAUGCCAUAAUAGAUUUGACGUUUGAUGCAUUGUGGAUUGGUAUGGACGAUCAUACCAUGUGGCUUGUAAUAUCUUAACUUGAUUGGCUAGCAAGAUCCAACUCAGAUUUAACUAUGCAAGUCAUGCCAGCUCACAUCGCCCAACUCAGCAUUGGCUUGACUGUUCAAAUCAUGCUAGCUCACCUCUUCCUCACUCAACAUUGGUUUGGUUUGAAUUUUCAAGUCAUGCCAAAUCACAUCAUCUACAAGAUCUCACUCAACAUUAGCUUGAUUAUUCAACUCACACCAACCAUGCCAAAUUCGGCUAUGCAUAUAAACUUGUUGUGGUUCCGUUCAAGCUUAUCAUGACCUGCCACGCAACAAAGUGACAUAAGUUAUGUAUGCCCUGAUUCUACGUGUCAUGUACGAAUAAUUAAUGUGUCUAAAAACGAGUCUCAGUUUCAUGUUCCUUGUACGGAUGUGUUGAAACCUUGUUCAUGCACAGUCGUACUCGUACCCGACAUCCAAUGAAAGACUUUGGAUCAUAACUUAAUGAGCUUGAACAAUGUAUUAUCGUUUGAGUCUUAGAAUGUUCUUGGAGCUCCAUCGAAGUAGCUCCUCUGAACAACUCAUAUGUUGUAAUUUGUAUUUACAUACGUGCCCAAUUAUAUUUAUGCUCUUAUACUAUUUUGAAGGAAAAAAACUUUUUUUACGAUAAAUAUUAGUAUUUAUUUGUUAGGUUUACUUUUUACCUUUUUGUUUGGGUUUAAACCAAGAUCUCUAAUUCAUUAUAACUUAGCUUAAAUAAAUUGAGAUGUCCGACUCCGACCCCACCAUUUUGAAAAUUUGAAGUAGUACUUGGUAAAAAAAAAAUUAUACCAAAUAUUGCUAUUUAUUUUAUGUAAUAAUAAUCUUGCUCGAUGUAUGAUUGUAUGAUUUUAGAGUUUGUACAACUCUUUCGAAUAACUUUUAUGUCAAUUUUGUUUUUCUCUCAUUUGACCAGUCAAAAACUAUAGAGAAGGAAAAAAAAAAAAAGAGCGAAUAAAACAUAAUUUAAAUAUAAGAGAGAAAUUUAUCAAAAAAUUAUUGUACAGAUAUCAUUUAUCAUGAUUUUAUGGCAAUUUAAAUAUGAAAUGAUACUAAAAUAAUUAAAUAAACCAACCUUGUGGUCUUUUUAUUGAAAUUGAAAAGGAAAAAAUACGUGGUUAUUUAAAGGUGGGGUCAGUGGUGCUUUAGACAACCCGAGAAUUUCAACCAUUUUCUUCAAAUUCAAAAUUCGAAAGGAGAGAGAGAGAGAGAGAGAGAAUGUCUUCAUCGGUAUCUGGGAAUAUGAAGGGCUUCUACAAGCAGAAGAAAAACACCAAUCUCACCACCACCGCCAAAUCAUCCAAGUCCAUAAAACCUCCAACUCACGCCUCCACUUCACCAUCCCUCAACACCAACCCAGAUCUCCAAGGUUCAAUUUGAUUUCUAGGGUUUUCUCACCCCCAAUCACCUUCAUCUUUUAUUAAUUUCAUAUAUUUUAUUUUUCUAAUAUGAUUUGGUUGCGGUUACUACAGAUGAACACAACGGCAGCGAGGCUGUGCUUCGACAAUUUGACAUGAACAUGAAGUAUGGGCCUUGUAUGGGGAUGACGAGGCUGGCACGCUUGGAGCGUGCUGUGAAGCUUGGUUUGAACCCUCCGGAGGAAAUCGCGGAACUCUUGAAGAGUGGUAAAGUUCAGCAAGAAUCACUUUGGGACACUCGCAUUUAGAACGCUGCUUAAAUGUAAUAAUCUUGUUGUAGCUUCUUCUGACUUGUUUGUUUGUUUAGGUUUUGCUUAGGGAAAAUCACUUUCUUGCUGUGUCCCCUUUCCCUGGUAGUAGUAGUAGUAUGUUUUCUUAUGUGACUCGAUAUCUUGUUGUUCUGUUCUGUUCUGUUCUUAUGCUGUUAAUUGUGCAAUUGAUACAUGCUGUUUGAGGGAGUAAAUUCGAAGUCGGAUACUUGUAUUUCAUGAUUAUUGACAAGAAAUGAAAUUGAAAAAGAGGAAUAUAAAUGGCCCUCCAAUGCAUAUGAACUUAACUAGAAUCUGGUUCGAACUUACUAGCUUAUUGCAUUUACAUCAUUAAGUGUUUUUAGUAUUUUGCAACAAACAUCAUUUUACUAGCUUAUUGGGUAUUAUGGUAUAAGGUACCACUUUUUUGAUGUACAAUAUAAAAGAGGAAAUACAGUAAAAAGAGACUAACUAUGAUUAAGCAAUUCUGAAAACUGGGGUUUAUAUCUUGUUGUAGAUUCACCAAUUUUUCUUGCUUAUACAAGCUUAAGCAUAUAGUAUAAAUGAAUCAUCAUCUAACGGAACUGCUAGUCCUUAAGCCAAUUCUUUGUAUUUGAGGUGAUGACACCACAGGUUCAGACACGCAAAACUAAAAGAAGUCAAAACAGAAAUUGAAUAAAAAUCCCAGCACUAGAAGAAAUGUUAAGACCAAACUUGGCAAAACAAUCAACAACUUUAUUAACUUUCCAAUGCACAUGAAUAACAGACCAAGAAGACAACUGCUCGAGGAGAUCCCUAAUCUGGAUAACAUGGCUGGUGUAAAUCAAAGCCAUUAGAAAUAAGGACAGUGCUGAUAGAGAAUCAAACUCCACCUUGAUGAGCUCAAAGUCAAAUACCAUUACCAUUCCGAAGUUGUUAGGGCUCCAUGAUCAGUAACAAAACUAUCACCAUUGAUUUUAACAAAACUAUCCUUAGGGACACUCUAAACGAACACAUUUCACCCAUUUGAAUUAACCGGAGAUUGAGAGAAAUAAAAGCUCCAGUUGAAUCAAACUAUGUCAUAAAAAAUUGUUGCUUCCUCACUGUAGAUCAUUUCUACAGUUUCUACAGUGAGGAAUUGGAGGCAUGUCGAUCAUCAAAUAUGGAUAUAACAUUUCUUCAAUAAAGUCUUAACUGGAGCAACAAUUCGCCAAAUAUGGAUAUAACAUUUCUUCAAUAAAGGAAUUGGAGGCAUGUCGAUCAUCAAAUAUGGAUAUCGUUCCUAGUUAUAGUUCGAAAAUUUGAUUCGUAAGAUUGUGAGAGUCAAUUCCUUUAAUUUGACUCAACCGCAUUAGUGCAAGAACUUUUUAAAAUAAAAAUUUAAUAUAAUUAAUAAUAUACGUUGAAAAUAAUAUUUAACAUAAACAUUACGCGUGAAUUCGGGUCCUUUAUUUUAAUGGCAGUCCCCUUGAACCGACUUGGUUUUUUUUUGAAAAAUUAUUAGUUUUUAGAUAUGAAUUCGGGUCAAUGACAUUAUUCUUACCUUACAAAAAUAAUCAAUAGUAAUGUACUACUAUAUGGAAAUAAUUAAUAGAAGUAGUUCUAAAAGUACAUAGGUAAAUUUAUCACAUCAAAACCAGCAGCAUCUUUUUAUGUUAAAAUUAAAACCAUAGCAGUUUUAUCGAAAUAAUAAAUAUUUGAUACCUACGAGAAACAACCACCGAUGGUGACAUUUUCCGUUGGUGGCUGCGACGACGGUGAAGGACCUAGCAACCCAAAUCAGAAGCGUCGAAGGGUCGACGCCGGUGAAGAAGUCGCAGCAGCAACAACUACAAGAGAAGAAGAAGAAGAAGAAGAAAAUCAACAACCUCAAGAAGGGUUUGAAAUGGAAAAUCCCCCAAUUGAAACCCUAGAAAAUGAUGCAAAUGAAAGAAAUUCGGUUGGAUCCAACGCGGGACAACAGAAUAAUGAUCUGAGUAAGAAGGUUUCUGCUAUCAUUUCUGAUCCUGAUGUUCUUGAUUGCUUCAUUUGCUCUGAACCGUUGGCAGUUCCUAUUUAUCAGGUUAGUUUCUCUUCUGGGUGUUCUGUUUUGACUAGAAAUCUUGAAUUUUUUUGCUGUGAUUUUUUGUUUUUGUAUGAAUUAUUUGAUUUGUGAUGGAAGAUUUAGGUUAGUGAUUUUAUUGUGAGUUGGAAUUUGGGUGAAGAAGUUUCCUUUUGAAAAGGAUUUCAGAAAUUUCACAUCCAUAGCAAGUCAAUUGUAAUCAGCUCUGGCGGAUUGAUGAAUUCAACCGCUGUAACACACAACCAAUCCAUGAACCCAAACCCAAUGCCUUGAGAUUCGAGGAUAAAUUGUUAUGGCAGGUCUACUUUUGUGAUUUUACUGUAAAAAGUUCAUUGGAUGUAGGUGUGUGGUGUUUUGGACUCCCCUUUUAAAGGCCAUGGUUUAAGCGUGGCUGAAAAAUUACACAGUCAAGUCCAAAACACCACACACCCACACCCACACCCAUAUCCAAUCAACUUUUUACUGUAAAAUCAAUGUGGAAGGAUGUAACAUCCAAUGUGGGCCUGUGUGGUGUUUUGGACUACCCUUAAUGUAAUGAACUUAAUUGAGUAAGUUGUUAUACUUAUGCCUGAAAUGUGGCUGAGAGAGGGUCAAUUUGUUGGCAUAGGUGUUUAUAUAGACACAUUUCUUUCUGUAUUUUGAAGGUUCAAAAGGAACGAUUUUGUUGAAUAUAAACCUCGAAUUCAAAGUUCUGUUUAUGAGUGUUAAUUUGUGAAUCAAAAUCAAUUGCUAUUUGCUACAUAGAUCUGAUACUCUAUUCUGAGUUCUAAAGGUUCUAGCUGCAUAAUGCUAUUUCUUAGCACUAUUGUUUUUAAUAUAUUCACCUGCAUCAACAAAUAGGUUGAGAUACACUGUAGUUUGUUGAAUGGUAGUCAGUAGUCUUCAUCGUUACCAUGAAUUAAUUUCUAUGGCAAACUUGCAACUCAAAUUUAAACAAAAUACAAAAUUAACUUUGUCAUGGGCGAUAUAGGUAAAUGAUUUAGGGUCUCAUAACCAUAUAGCUGAUGUUUUGCGAUAAACUCUUAACGACUUGAGCUCAUAUAAUUACAAUGGAAAACAGUCUUAAUUGCUAGAUUUUUUUUUUUUUAAUAAGCCGUUCUUUACUGAUGUGUGACUGUAGUUGAAUUCGCUGUGAAGAUGAUUUUUUAUCUUCAAUACUUACUAAAAUUUCUACUUUAUGCAUUCCUUGUGCUCAGAGUUGUUGAUCACAUGGUUUGUUGUUUGUUUUAAUGUUUAAAUUUGAAUUGAUGUUUUCUUUUGAAGUACAAUAGUAUGAUGGUGACCUCACAUUAUGAUUCAUGUCAAUUUUUCAAAAAAGAAAGAAAGAAAGAAUGUCAUUGUUCAUUGAUAAUGUUUUAUGUGGUUGCUGUAAUUUAAAGGUAAUCAAUAAGAGAAGGAGGAGGAAUUUACCUCCUCCCUUCCCUUCAAAAGAAAGGGAGGGAGCUCUCUUUGAUUAUUUGCCACUUUUUUUUGUAUGUUCCUUUGGUUUUCUAUCUGGCUACUUCAACAUGCAAGCCUUUCAAGGGUACUUUUUUUUAUUGUUUGGUUUGAUGCCCCAUGUAAUGAGAGAUCUAAUUUGAUAACUUUCUUUGUGAUUAAAUGACAAUUCAGUGUGAGAAUGGGCAUAUUGCUUGCUCUAAAUGUUGUGGCGAACUUAGGAACAAAUGUCCUAUGUGUUCAAUGCCCAUUGGGUACAAUCGUUGUCGGGCUGUGGAGAAGUUGCUGGAAUCUAUUAAAAUAUCAUGCCCAAAUGCAAAAUAUGGCUGCAAAGAUAUGUUUAGUUGCAGUAUGAAAAGUAGCCACGAGAAGGAAUGCAUAUAUAUACCAUGUAAAUGCCCACAUACAGGCUGCGGUUUUCUUGCCUCAUCCAAGGAGUUAGCUCUCCACUUCAGCCACAGACAUGCAGGCUUUGGAAUACAGUUUACCUAUGACAAAUUUAUUUCUGUCUCCUUAAAUACCCGACAGAAACAAAUCGUUCUUCUAGAUCAAAAUGACGCAAGAUUGUUUAUUGUUCACAACCACAUUGUUCAACACGGAAAUAUGGUCCAUAUUAGUUGCAUGGGCCCCAAAGCAAUUACAGAUACUCAUUAUGAUGUCUUGGCUAGGUCUCAAGGGAGCACAUUAAUAUUGCAAUCUUCUACGAAGACCAUUCAAGACAAUAAUGGUGAUGCUCCUACAGCUGGAUUUCUUGUGAUACCUUCAGAUCAUUUUGGUUUUGGACAACUCAAAUUGGAUAUUCGUAUAAAGUCUCACUAACCCUUCGUUAAAGAUUGAAGCAGUCUACAACUUAGUUGAUUGCUAUAUGUAUUUACUUCAUUUAGGAGUUUAUCAUAUUGAACUAUUUACUACUCCAUGUGGGCACAAUUGAAUUUGACUGUUCUCAAGAAAGGUGCCUUCAUUGAGUAGGAGAUGAAAAAUGCUUUUGUUAAUGUUUGGGAUUAUGGUUUCAAAAUUAUCCUAUAAAUAUGUAGUAUGUUAAAAACUUAAAUUUGUUGGAGCCUCAGUGACAAUUAUUUUAGUUUAUUUAUGUGCUUUUUUAUAUACAUAUCCCGUUAAAACGGUGCAAUUGUUGGUUACAAAGUGUUUCUACAGUCAUAUUGUAAGGAGUUACGGAGGAUCAAGUUGUGUACACUUCUUUAAGACUUGCUUCAAUACAUUCACUUAAUUUAGGAUUUUAUCAUAUCUAACUAUUACUACAUGGGAGCACAAUUGGAGUUGACAGCUGUCAAGAAAGUUGUUGUCAUUUGUAUGUGUGGGUCGGUUAGGUUCGAAAUCAAAAUCGGUUCCAAAACUUGAAACCGUUUAAACCAACGGUUGCAUAUCCCUAAACCAUUUCCGACCAACUUAGGCAUCGGUUUAGUCGGUUCGGUGUAGACGGUUAAGCCGGUGAAAUGUGUGGUUUGGUUCGGUUAAUUCGGUAAAAAUCAAGAGCGGUCUUUGUGCCACAAUAUAUCAUAGUUGAUGAAAACCAAAAGAAUAAUUUUGAUGCUGCACAACAAGGAUUAAACAGUAGGUAGUACUUAGAAAAGAGAUCUAGUUGACGAAAACCAAAAGAAUAAUCCUAGUUGAGUGUGAAAGCUAAAAUACAACAUAGAUACCAAGACAUGUCUAUAUCUAUAAAACUUCUGGAAACGCUUGAAAACAAGUGUAUAUCUAUACCAUGGAGUUUGGCUCAAGCCUAAUCUCUAAAACCUAUGAUCAGUAGAGCAACAAAAGAUAAAAUAAGAACGUAAUACAGAGUGUAGUAGAAUAUAUUUCUUAAGGCAGGAUUAACAUUGUUAAUUUGUGAUUUUUGUUUUAAAUUUUUUAUGGAAAAUGGAAGAAAAUAAUGAUUUUGUGAUUUAUGAUUCGAGAUUUGUGUGUUUUUGGAUGAUGUUUGAUUUGAAGGAAAGGAAUCAUUUCUGAUGUAUGGAUGGAGAAGAACAGCAGCCGCAGCAGAGGAAAAACAAACAAGAAAGAAAAACUAGGGUUUCAGUUCUCUAACUUAUGUUUAUAUAUGUGGGUUCAACUGGACUUUGGGCUGGACAUUAGUUACGUGGGCUGGAUCGGUCGGAAACGGUUUUCCGUGGGUUGGAUAUUACAACCCGUAACCGACCAUGAUUAGUCACACCAAACCAUUUCAACUGGACCAACCAACCGGUUUAACCGCUCAACCCGAACCGCCAUGCUUCGGUCCAUCCGGUUCGGCCGGUUUUCAAUAUUCUGUCCAGCCCUAGUGUGUAGUAACAAAUUCUUCUUUAAACGAAGCAAAUCUGAGGAGCUAAAAUAUACUCUAAGAAAUAAUAGUUAUGAGACUAAAAUGAAAUUAAAAAAUUACUCCCUCCGUUUCUUUUUAAGUGUUUUUUUAAAAAAUUAACAUAAAAAUAGCAAUGUGUAUUUUUGCACAUUUUCUUCUUAUUGUACUUUCAUUUUAAUCAACCAAUAAAUUUCUAUUUUUUUUUUGCACACACCUUUUUAAUUUAAUAUGUUAUAUUUCUCUCGUAACAAACACUUAUGAGUUAGUAUUAACUUUUUCUCCAACAAAUUCUUAUUUUUUUUGCGCAUUAUCUCUCUCGUAAUAAACAAUUGUCAAUUUUCUAAAUAUUAUGCACAUUUUUUUUAAUUAUUUUCAGUCAGUAUAAAAAUUAUAUUGAUGAAACCUCUUCUUCAUUGUCAUCUUGUCAAAUGAGUCUUCAACUAUUGCUCCAUCUUCACCUCUCAUCGGCAAUUCUAACGAGUCUUCCACUUUUUCUUCAUUUUGAACAUUCUUUUUUUUUUUGGUUACAUGGCUAAAGAAAGGGAAAAAAAAAUUCAUUUUGAACAUUCAUGGAGUCUUUUAUUUUUCUUCUCUCAAAUCUGUUUUUUUACUUUGCACUUGAAAUUUUUAACAAUUUCUAUCCAUCUUAUUUAUAUAAUUUUAACUCUUCGUAAAACCAUUGUUUGUAACAAAAUUUUAUUUAAAUUUGAAGAUAAAAAUAACAAGAAACAAACUUUGUUUUAAAAAUAAAAAUAAGCAAACUUUGUUUUAAAAAAAAAACUUUAGUUUCCAAAUAGAUAAUAUUAAUUAAUUUUAUUGAAAAAUAUAAGAGAAAUUGACAAAUCGUGCCUUUAAAAUAUCGAAAAGACGGUUAAAUAGGAACGAAAAAUUCACAACAUUUAAAAAGGAACGGAGGGAGUAUAAGACAAUCUGAUUUUAUUUUUUGAAUCAUGUUGAAACAAGAUUUGGAUGAACUAGGUCAAAUUGCAGGUUUUUCUGAAUUUUUAGGGAAGUCAGAUUAUAUAAAUUGAAACUUGUGAAAAUGGUUUGGAUUAUAAAAUCCGAACAUGGGUAUUUUCGUCAAAUUUGAGGGUGCUAGAGAAGUGAGGAAGGUGGAAAUAGGAAUUCUUUUAUAUUAAUGCUUAAAAUUACAUAUUUAAUCAAUUAACUACUCCAUCCGUUCCUUUUUAAGUGUGUUUUUAGGGGUGAAUUUUUCGUUCCUAUUUAACAGUCUUUUUGGUAUUUUAAGGGUACGAUUUAUCAAUUAUACCCUUUAUCAAUUACUCUUAUAUCUUUCAAUAAAAGUAAUUAAUGCUAUCUAUUUGGAAAACAAAGUUUAUUUUGAUGAUUUUAUUUUUAUUAGUUUUAUAUUCUAGCCUUGAUAUAAAUAUGUAUAUGAUAAAUUUGAAAAUUAAUUUAUCAAAUCCUACUGUCUCAUUAAACACUUAAAUGAAACAAGAUAUAAAGAGUUCCCUAUCUAUCAUUACCCAUUAAUCCAUUAUGGAAUGAACCAACAAUGGAUGUCACAUGACCAUCCUAGUUACCAAUCGACUGAAUAUUGAACGGACAUCAAACACAAGCUCCAUAUGUCUGAAAGUGUAUAAAAUAUUACACUGAAACAAAUGGUUUUAGUAGGUCAGUUCAAGGAAAAACUUUUGGUAAUUCACAAUGAUCGUGUCAAUCAUUUGGUACAUGCCUUGGACCCAAAACAAUAUAUUAGUUACAAGCUCUAUGCUUCCUCAGGUGUUGAAAGAGUAAGAUUGCUUUAUGAUAUCAAGACCAGUACUGCUCAAGCCAUGUUUCUCUUCAUUCCUUCUAACCCGUUUGUUUCCGCUCAUCAACUCAGCUUUGUAAGACACACUUAAAUAAGUCUAUAUUUGGUUAAUAUUUCAAAGGUCUUGUUAAAGAUAAAGAGUGUCUUCUUUAAAGAUUCUAAAUUACUAAAAAAAUUAUUAUCUAAAAAAGUUAAAUAGAUACAUUAAAUACACAAGUUUUCAUAUAAAAUUACCAUUUAAAAACCUUAAAAAAUGCACCGGAGAUACUCAUUAACAUUUCUCAUAUUUCAAAGAAGUCAUUGUUUUUGUCAAAAAUUUAUCAAUUAAAUCUUUUUCAUUAUGUUUUGUCACAUGAAGAGAGAUCUAAUUAAAAACUUUUAACAAAGACAAAAAUUAACUUAAAAUAUUAAUAAAGUCGAAAAAUAAUGAAAGUGACUUCAAAAAUAAAGAUCAAUUUAAUAGUUUACUCGUCAUUUGUUUUAUCUAUACGUGGCCGUAAUCUAUAGUAUAUAAUAAGUUUCAAAAUUAAUUUAUCUUACCAAAUCCUUCUUUUUCAUUAACCAAUGAAACUAGAUAUAAUACAGCUCCUUAUCAUAGCCCACUAAUCCAUUAUGUGUCUAUUUAUUUACACCGUUGACUUUUGAUAGUUGUCACAACUCACCGUCACAUGAUCAUCUUAAGUACUCCCUCCGUCUUAUUUACAAGAGAUAAUUUAUUUUUCAGAUAUAUAAAAUAAUUUAUGUAUUUGGUUUAGAUUUUUGACUAAAUACAUACAUUAUUCAAUGUAUCUAAAAAAUCAACUUUAUCUUAUAAAUACGAUCGAAGGGAGUACUUAAUAUUGAACUUAAUUCAUUAGUUCUUUUGUUGUCAUAAUGAAUAAAUUAGAUUUAUAUAUGUUUUCGAUUGUUAAGGUAUAGAUUUAUUUAUAUAAAUGAAUCAUUUUACCAUCUUUUGCAUAUCAAACACAAGCUCCACAAAUCAGCUAUAAUUCAAUCUAUUAUCUCUGGUCAAUCUUUACUUAAACUCUAUCCACUAUAUGUCUAAAAGUUUAUGAUAUUAUUUUAAAAAUAGAUUAAUCUAAAAAUAAAUAACUGUGGUCCACUAUAGAUCGGUUAUGUUGCUGUAUCCCACCCUAGUCAAGGCCUAGUUAAAUAUAUUCUCUUUGACGUUAAAAAAACGAUUUAACCCUAAAGUUUUGACAAGUUUAGAUGAUGUACUUAAUUAUCGAAAUGGAUCAACUCAUCUAGCAAUUAUUUUUAUUGUAAACCUGUUGAUCUAAAAAUUCCAAAGCUAUAUAUGAGCCUAUUGGUAAAACUUUCCCAUUUUUUCAAUAUUGAGGUGAAUGGUCCCCUCUGGACGGGUGUCGAUGUAUAUACUUUGCAACCUCUAUUUUUUAGAGAAUAAAAUUAGAAGAGGAGAAACAUUUAAAAAGGAAGGGAGUCAAUAUGUUUUUUUAGUGAAGAUUCUAAUUCUAUUUCUUUAAAUUACUGAAUUAGUAGUUUAGUACCCACAAGAUAUAUAUAACAAGAAAUACAAACAUAAAACAAAAGAAAAGUUUGUGAUGAACAUUAAGGUGGUAUUAAUGAACAGAAUAUUAUUAAACCACUUCAUUAUAAUGUACUCUUAUUUGAGGAAAAAGAUAGCUACUACUUGCAUAAUAAUAACCAACAUAUACAAACAAGGUUUUAAAAUAGGAGAAUACUGAUAAACUUGCGUCACAUGUUAUCAAUGAAUUUGACGAAAUCAUAGUAAACAACAAUGAUUCUAACAAAAACUAUACUUUAGAACUUCAACAAAAUCAUAAUUUUACUGUGAUUUCGUUAAACUCACCUUGAUUUUUUUCAAACACGCACUUAAACAGAUAAUACAUACAUAUAAAGAAAAACGAUUGUAACAACAAACAUGGGAUGAAGUCUGUUUGAUAUGAAAACCAAAAGAAACACAAGCAAAGCAACUGAUCCCCAAGUGGAUUGAACCCCAUCAUCUCCACCUUCUAUAACAUUUGAAUUUGAUGCUGGAGCCAUGUAUCGUCCAAAUAGAGAGAUGAGUGUAAUGAGAAGUGUCAAAAACAAGAGGAACAAGUUGAGGUUUGUGCUAGUUGAUUGCAUGUUCAUAUAUGAUGAAAUCCACAAUAAGAACACAACUAUACCAACUAAGGCCAAAAGCUGAAGAGGUGGAGUUGAUAUAGAGGACAAAGAGUUUUCCAUCCAUCCUUUCUUCAAUUCUAAAUCCCUACUCUCGUUCACUACCGUAGCCAUUAACUUUUCUCUCACAAACACUCAAGACUUUUUUGGUUUCUAGGAAUCGGAAUAUAUAUAUUAAUUUUUGGAGAGAUGAGAUAUAUAGGAAUUGGAAUAUAUAUUUCUCUAACCAGUCUGGUGGAUAAUACUAUGGAUCGCAUAUACUAUAUAUAGAUAAGAAAAUAAAGCGAACUAGAAAACAUACUUUUCUUUGAUUUUUGUUUUUACGGGUUUUUGAUAUUUUUUGUUGUUGUUAUUAUUCAAUUCUAUAUGUUUCUUUUCCAAAGCAUUCAAUGUGAUUCGACCAUUUAAAUAUGUUAUAAUAUUAUUUUAUAAAAUAGUACAUACACGAUUAAUAAAAUAGUUAAUUAUAUGUCAUGCACGUUGAAUUCAUAUUUAUCUCUUGGGAAAUAAACUUGGGCAAAUGUACCAAAAAAAAAAAAAAAAAAACUUGGGGAAAAAAUCACUUAGGAGAUACAUUCACCGAAGAAUAUGUUGAAAACGUCUAUUAAAUAAAAGAAUUGAUGUUUUUCUACAAAAAAAGAAAGAAUUGAUGUCUUGUUUUUUUUAUUUUAUAUAUAUAAUGAUGGUUAAAUUAGUGUCAUUCACGUUGCUGAAUUCAUUUACGUGCAUUUAUCUGUCCAUAUACGAAUUGAUGAAAUUAAACCGUCCCUAUAAAACAAUGAGGGCAAAAUUGAAAGAAGAAAUGAUAAGCUAUAAACUCAAAUGCUAUUUGGAAUAGCGUCUGAAAAAUAGUUUAUAAACUCGUGAAAUAAAUUAUAAGUUCGUGAUGAAAAAACGUUAACAAACAAAUUUUUUUUGGUCAAACGAACUUAUAAACUAUUUGCUAUAAAUUCGUUUUCUAGUCUUACCAAACAGACCCAAUAUGUAAGGUCAAUAUAUAAGGAUGCUUUAGUUUUUUUUCUUUGACUUUUUAAACAACAAAUCAAAUAUGAAUAGUGUUAUUUUUUUUAAACAAUAAAUAUUAGUAAUUAAUUUUUAAAUUAAUAUUUUUACUCCCAUUAGGUCUGACCCGGGUUCCCAUACUCCUUUCCUCUCAACUUACCCUUAGAUCAAAAUUAGUUGAACUAUACAACCCCUCCUACCUUAAUAUUGUUAGUAUUAAUUGUUAAUAUUAUUCUAAGAGUGGAGAUCGAUCUCUCAAUCUCAUUGUGUUUGCUACUUAACUAUUUGACACAAGCAUAGUAAUCCUUAUGCAUAUUGCUUUUGGACACAAUCACAAAUAAAAAAAAUGUAAUGACAUCAGUUAAUUCUUUUCUGUGUAUUUUUUUUCUCUUUCAUUUAUGUGUAUUAAAAUAAUUUUGAUUUGAGAUUAUAUCCAAGUUAGUAAACUUGCUCAAUAUUUAGAAUUCUUAUUGGUAUUAUUGGAGCCACAACCUCCUUCUUCCUCUCAUCUUUCCUUGUCUUAGUUUCUUAUUAACACUGAUAUCUUAUAAAACAGUUAUAUCUACUAUCUAAGAGGAAUGAGGAUAUUAAGCAGCAGGGACGGCCCGGAAAUUUUGAGAGCCUUAGAAGAAGAAAAAAUGCCCUUAUUAUAAUUUGAGUUGUUUGUUUCUUAUAUUUUUGUUUUAAAUUUGUUAAUAAUUAAAGUUAUUCAAAAAAUAACUUUUGAUGAAAGCUAAAAGAGGAAUUUUUUUUAAUUAGAUUGAUAGUAAGAUUUUUACAAUUUUAACAUGAAAAAAUUACUCUUAUCGUAUGUUUGGUCUUGCAACACGUUUGCAAAAACUAAUGAUGAAAAAUGAUGACAAUGCAGAAAUAUUUGGUUUUGUAGCUUAUUAAAAAUCACGAUAAGAGCAAGGUGAAAAUGUGCUUGGACCAUCUGAUGUGCAACCAAACAAGCAAGAUUCAACAGUAAUAACAUGUAAUUUAGCUACCAAAAAUGCAUUUAACCCUAAAUUAAUUUAGUUUGAAGAUCUUUUCAAAUCUAAAUCAUUCUCGGAAAAUCAUUUCUUUUGCAUUUUCAUAACUAGGUUGCAAAUCAUUUCUUUCAUAAAAGAUAUGAUAUCUUUAAUUUUAAAUUUUACUAUUAUACCAACACCUAAUAAAUAUUAUGCAUCCAUAAAAAAAGGGAAACAGAUAAACGAGGGAGAUAAUUCCAACCUUUUCAUUGAUAUCUACCUUAUCAUAGACAGAGAACUGUUUAUAUUAAUAAUUCAACUCCAGCAGCAACAGAUACAUAAUAAAUAAUUCUGGAAUUUUCUUCACCGAGGUGGGGACAAGUUUCACGUGUUCAAUCUUAGAAGGAGAAUAUUGAAUCGGCAACUAUAUCUAAUUCGUGGCUAAUUUAUGCAUGCAAAUGGAGCUUUAUGCGAAAUUUGAGCAUGACGUGUCUAAUCUCUGUGUUGACACUUGAGAGAUUUUGCUCACAAUUCAGCUGAAGAAUGGGACCAAUCACUUAAAGAAGCUCUCAAGCUUACUCCUUCGUUAAGCAAGCAUGUAGUAGUAGUAUAUGUCAUAGUGUAAAAUAAAAGGUUAAUUUAUAUCUUCUCUAUCUAUCUAUCUUAGAUUGAGACAACUCCCAAAUAACUUCAAAAAAGUCAAUGAAAAAUAAAAUAAAGCUUCCGACAAAAUUAUCAAGUUUCAUUUUGGUUUAAAAUGGAACUAAUUCAUACAAAUAUCAAACAUUUAUAUAUAUAUAUAACUGAUUUUUUACACUUUUGGUUUUUGUUGUUUUAUUUUAACCCUUGCAAAAUUGGUUCAAUUUGGAUUUCAUCCUCGUAAUAUAUAUAAUAUUUGAUUUUAAUCUCUUAAAAUAAGGAUUAAAAUGAAUAUCAUAGGAAGCAAUUUUAAUAUAAAUAGAUUUUAUAGGAACUUAAACAAAAUAUCAAAGAGCAAAACAAAAUAUUUUAUAUUUCCAAUGACUAAAACAAAAAGAAAAAGGUAUUUUUCAAGGGACUAAAAUUAAAACCCAUGAGAUUUGAAGACAUAUUUAAGUCUUUCAGUUUUUGUUCCCAUGAAAAAAGUCGCACUUAUUAGUCCUUUGAAAAUUAUUUUGCAAGCAGUUUUAGUCCUUGUUAUUAAGUUAACAUUUAUUUUUGAAUGAUUUUUUAUAGAUAUGUUUAAAACAUUAUAAAAAUUUCUCCACAAAAAUGAAUUUAAAAUUUGAUUUUUAAAUUAUGAUUUUCGUUUCUCUAGAAAAAAAAAAACGGAUUUUCGUUGCUUUUAUCUUGAGCAUUUGACAUUUAAAAAACUUAUAUUUAAUUCAUUGCAUUUUAAAUUUUUUUAAUUAUUGUUGAGGAUUUAUCAUAAAAAUAUUUAUUUAUGUUAAAAUAGAUUAAAGUGUAGUGCAUAUUUAAUUAUCAAGAGAGUGUGUUGUAAUUCAAACAUCUCAUAUAGGAUGGGAGUAUAAGUGUAUAACUUUUAUUUUUCAAGGAAAGAUAAUGUAUAUUUUAACAUAAGAGGAGAAACAAGUGUAAUUCUAGAUUCUCUUAGGGGAGGAGAGUGUAAUUUAAUUUACUCAUUUUAAAUAUAAUUGCAUAAAAUUAUUCAAAAAUAUUUAUAGUUGAAGAAUGAUUAAACAUGUUUUGUUUCUACAUGCUUGCAUGGCUACAAAAAUUGAUUACAUGAUUAUUUUGUCGGGACUAAAAAUGCAAUUUUUUAUGGCUACAGAAACGAAACUUGAUAAUUUUAUAGCGACUAAAAACAUAUUUAAUAAAAAAUAAAUAAAACAUAUUUCGCUUAGACAUUAAGAUUCGAUAUACAAUUGUUUCUUUCAAAUUAAAUAUUAUCUACGGUCACAUUCUUAGAUUGAAUGAGUUCUACAAUUGUUUCUUUCAAAUUAAAUAUUGUCUACGGUCAAAUUCCUAGAUUGAAUGAGUUCAUAAUGUAGGAAACUGAACCAAAAUUAAGCGAAGGUAAGUUACUUGGAUGAGGUCAAUGAACGACCAAGAGGUCCAUGGUCUAGGUUGGUGACCUCCAUUGCAUUUAGGAGGGGCUUGUAUCUAAGGUGUUCUCAAGUAGAACAACCUACAUUAUAAUUUGUUGUUGUGGAGGCCUGCGUGCGCGCGGCCCGCUUAAAAAAAUUAAGUGAGGGUUAGAAGGGAAAAAUUGGUGUACCUUUGGUAUCAUCUGAAUCUUUUUAUUUUUUGAAAAUAGAACAUCUAAUUUAUUACUCUCUUCGUUCCAAAUUAUAUGAUAUUUUGGACAUUUCACAUCUAUUAAGAAAUGUAGUUAAUUUUGCAUGGAAAAUACAUAUUAUGAGUUGUUUUACAAAAUUGUCCUUAAUAAAUGAUAAAUUAAAGAAUUGAAAGAAGAUAAAAUAAUAAAUAAUUAAGGGUAUUUUAAAGAAGAGAAUAGAAAAAAAAUAACAUUAAUGCUUCAUUUGUAUUGUAAAACGACUUAUAAUUCGGAAUUUCGAAAGAAAAUAUCUUGAAUAAAGCAGGACGAGCCUGCUUAGUGUAGUCUACAGGGCCGGCCCUAGGCAUAGGCCGCGAGUGCGACGGCCUAGGGGCCAUGCCCGUAGGGGGCCCUAAAUUUUUUUAUAGGGGGGUGUAUAUAGCAAAGCUAAGGAAAAAGUGGGGUGCGUAUAGUAAUUCAUACCAGCAGGCCUAAAUCUGAAUCAUUUUCUCGGUCCAUUAGGAAUAAAAUAGAAAGAAAAAAAAACGUGGAAAGGCCCAAUAAAGAGAAAAAUAAUGGAAAGGGCUCAACUAACACACAAACAAAAAUUUCUUUUGAGCAAUUAGAAAGACAGAUGAAAAAGGAAACCUAAAAAGAAAAACUAAAAGGUUCCAAAGUCAGUCAUUCUCUCCAUGUGAAUUGUUUUAGGUGUUUUUUUUUUCUUUCUUAUUCCAAUUCUAUUUGAUAAUAUUGUUUCAAUUCUCUAAUUGCUUCAAGUGUUGAAUUCUAAUUAUGUUUUUUUUUCUUAUUCCAAUUCUCUUUGAUAAUCAUUGUUUUCAAUUAUCUAAUUGCUUCAGGUGUUGAAUUUUAAAAUUCUAAUUGAAUGAUUUAUGUUUUUUCCAGUUGAAUUUUUUAUUUUUCCAUAUAGCAUGAUUUAUUCAAAAUCAAGAGUUCACGUACUGUACAUAAAACACAGUACACGUUGAACUUGAAUAUCAAUUUUUGAUAUUUUUUUUAAUUAAUUGUUUGUACCGAUAGACUACACUAGUAGGACAGUACACGUGAUUUUUGUAUGAUUCACAAAAGUUAAUGUUUUUGGAUGAUAAUGAGUUGAACGAAUGUUGUGUUAAAUUUCACUCAACUUUUUCUCAUGGCGAUUUAUCAAAUGUCGAUGUUCACGAUCUUUUCUCAUAAUUAAAAGUGUUACAAUGCACUUUGCCGACUGAAAUAAUGAAUGCCUUGGAUAUUCUUAAAUUUGUCAGACUUGCAGAUUGUUAUCCAAAUGUAGCAAUUGUUUACAGAGUUUUAUUGACGGUGCCCAUGACUGUAGCAUCAGCAGAGAGAAGUUUUUCAAAAUUGAAGUUGAUUAAAACCUACUUGAGGUCAUCAAUGUCACAAGAUAGAUUGAACAGUUUGGCUACUUUGUCAAUUGAGAAGGAAAUGUUGAAGAAUAUUGAUGUUGAUGUCAUUAUAAAUGAUUUUGCAUCUCAAAAAGAUCGAAAAAACAACUUUUAACUUCACGAGUAAAAGAGAAGUUUUUUGGAUAUUUUGUGCAACUAUUGUAUAUUCUCAAUGAUGGUUUAUAUCUAUGUGUCAUAGUUUUAUUAGAGUUGUUUUCUCUAUAGAUAGGUUGUUAUCCAUACCUAUAAUUUUACUUAACUUUGUUGGGUUAGGUUCGGCCCCCCCAACUUUUUUGUUUUGUUUUUCCUUUUUAUUAAUAAUAUAUAGGAUGAGGUGUAUUUGACACACAAUAUUUUGGGGUGCCAGCAUAGCUUGGAUGUCAAAAUAUCGUAUUAUAGUGACUUGGGGUGCCAGCAUAGCUGGGAUGUCAACCACUAUAACCAAUACAUGUCUCAUUCAUCAUUUAUCAGAAGAAAAAAAAAUUAUUAUGUAAUACAAAGGGCCCUUUUUUCAUACUAUAUCCAAGGCCUGUAAAACUCUAGGAACGGCCCUGGUAGUCUAUCACAACAGCAAUUCUCGUUUAUACCAUGCAACUUCACGAUCUUCCUACUUAUAUUUACAACAGGUUAGAUAAGAUCAUGUUAGAUAAGAUGACAAAGAUUUUCCUUUGGGGGGCAAUGGGCUCUUUCGAUCUUGUAAUCAUGUUAAUUGGAAUAUGGUUAUAGUUCCUAAACGCUUUGGUGGCCUAGGUAUUUGUGAAGUUAGGCUUACUCAUUUAGUUUUGCUUGGUAGGUUAGUGUGGAACAUGCUUCAUAAUAAAGAUAAAUUGCAUGCUUCAUAAAAUGGUCUAGAAAACAGAUGUCUUUAAGGAUUUAUAAUUAAGAAACUAUUUAUAAAAAGGUUAAAAUAUGGUUUUAGUCCCUGCAAAUAUGCCUCGUUUUGGUUUUAGUCCCUGUAAAAAAAAAAUUGUUUUUGGUCCCUGCAAAAUUUUUUGUUUUUGAAAAUAGUCCCUGAUCCCACUUUUGUGAUGAUUUGCAUACGUGACACAUUAUAACUGAAUCAAUUUUGUAGUUUUUGGUCCCUGCAAAAUAUUUUGUUUUUAAAAAAGGCCCCUGCAAAAAUUUUUAUUUUUGAAAAUAGUCCCUGGAGGGACUAUUUUUUAAAACCAAUAUUUGAUUUGGCAUAAAUAUCUCAACAAACUUUUGAUCUUAUCUAUUAUAUAUUUUACUUAACUUUUUCAUUGAAUUUUUAAUAUUUUAUGUAACAGAAAUAUUUCAACAGAAAUAACACAAAUUCCUAAAAGUUUAUUUUAUUAUAUAUGUGUUAAUAUUUUUACUAAAUCCAAUUAAUUUUAUCGGUAUGUGCAUCAAUAAAUUUACGAGUAUUUAUAAUAUGAUAUAUUUUAUUAUAUUUGUAUGUAUUUAUUAAGAUAUUCAUCCUAUUCCAAGCCGUGAUAAAUUUUAUUUGCGGAUAUCUUUCAUAUAAUUUUUUUUAUCUUCUUGAAUAUGGCCCCGUUUGGAUUGACUUAUUUUGAGCUUAUGUGGGCUUAUCUACUCCCAUAAGCCUUUUUAAAGGUGUUUGGGUAAAUAAAUAAAAAUAUUUUAUCAUAGUUUCAUAAGCUGCUUAUGCCAUAUUUUAAUAAGCCUAAAUUUUCAGCUUACUCUCCGGCUUAACAAGGAGCUUAUGAAUUUAUGUAACCUCCAUCGAUUCUCUCUGGAUCCACUUUUUCAAAACAUAUAUUUUAAUUUUAUUUUUUUGUUUUUAGAAAAAAAAAAACAUAUAUUUUAAUUAUAAUGUUAGUUAUCUUUGAUUGUGCAUGAGUAACAAAAUUGCUAUAUACUUAUCUUACUAAAGUAACACACGUAACUAAGAUUUUUUUUAAGGAUGAUUUUUAUUAUUUUUUUGUUACGUAACAAAAUGAAACUGAAUAAAAAAAACAAACUUAAUUUGUCUUUUUUUGGUAACAAACUGUACAUUAAUAUCUAUAUAUAUGGUAAGUUUACAAUCAUAAUUUCUCAAGUUUAUAUUUAUAUUAUUAUACUUUUUUUUAAAAGAAAGCUUAUCAUAUAUUAUUAUACUUGUGUAUAAUGAUGUUUAGACUAUUUAUUUACACCUCGAAUGUUAAUUUUGUCUUAUAUGAAUAUUGAUAUUUUUUUAAGGACGAAUAUUGAUUAUACUAUAUAUAUAAUUAUAAUUAAUAUAUUAUAAUAUUGUUUUUUACAUCUUGAUUAAUUUUAUCAAAAAAAAUCUUGAUAAUUGUGGUUCGAUUCUUUGAUUUUUUCGUUAAAUUAAAAAUAUUUAAGAUUUUGAUAAUUGCUUAUGUAAUGUCACAUCCAAACACUUCAAUUUAUGUAAGUACUUUUUAGUGUACAUAUUCAAACAUAAAUAGCUUAUCAAGUAUAAGAGCUUAUGAUGUAAGUUCUAAUGUUAUAAGCCCUAAUGCUUUAAGCAUCUAUAUAAGCUGUUUAUCCAAACGGGGCCAAAGUCUAACCCGGGCAACGCCGGAUAAAUACACUAGUUACUAUUUUAUAUGGUUCUCUCUUAACUUAGUCUAAGUGACAUUAAUUUUGAGUCAUUAGGAUUGAGCAAAUCUCAUUUUCUCUUUUCAUCUCCAAAUUAGGGUUCUAAUAUUCUUCCUUCGUCUUAAUUCUUCUUCAUCUUCUGCUUCUUUCAAUAUUUCUUUUUUGAAGGUCCUUCUUUUAAUUUCUUGUUCAUUAGCUAAUCUGCACAAAGCAAGACCGCAAAAUUUUUCUUUGACAAACGUGAACUACAAAUCAAAUUAUAGAAACAGAAACAAAAAGAUACUACCAAAUAUGUACGUGCAUAUUUGGUAGUUGCGUGAUCACGGACAAAAAUACAUUAUAAAAAGGAUUUUAGUUCUCAAGUACAGAAACACGUUUCACUAUAGGACAUGAAAACCUUUGGCCCCAAAAAUAUACGGUAUCAGCUCCUGGAUAUGAACAUCAUCAUCAUGGCCACAAUCACACAAUUAUUAGCUCUUUAAAGCAAAAUAACAAUGUCCACUCACAAUGAACAAUAUGUUGUUACUAACCUAACCCAAUAAAAAACUAAACCACAAGUGAUUUGAUUUGGUUACAAUUAAGUUAAAAGAAAUUUAUUUUUUAUUUGAAUUAAAGUUGAAAACAACUCACACCCACUCUUGCCUAACUUGUCUCCCAUAGUAGAUUUAAUUAGCACACUUUAGUUAAUCUAUCUAUUCCCCACAACUAGAAAUUCUUUUAUAAUCCUACCAAAAAAAGAAAUUCUUUUACAAAUUUGUAGCAUCAUUCGCAGAACAUAACCGACUAAAAAUGAUGCCUUUUAACUCACUUAGGUUUGUUUAGUGGUAUUGACUUUGAGACUUUAGAGUGUAUUCUUUCUCGAGAUUUUGAAUUUGAUUCUCUCUGAUGUUAAUUUUGAGUGGCUUAAUUUAACUUCUUAAAUAUGAAACAUGUUUGUUUCUAUAAAUGAAGGGAUAUGUGUCAUCUAAAACUCACGUACAUAACAGUAAGAACCUGACUGACAAUGUCAAACUAAAAUAUAAUUGCAUUGCCAAUUAAGCUAGACAUUGUUGAAUAAAACAUGUUUCUUAUAGAUGAUAACAUGAAAUAUGAAACAUAUGAUGGUAAAAUAAUUGCAGUUAAUUACCCAUUUGUCUCUUAUUAUAACACCGUUGUCGUACUAUGUAUAGUGAUGUUGAUUAAAGAGGCGGACAAAAUUAUCAAACAUCACAAACACAUUUAUUUCCUUUUUUCUGAAUUUGAUUGGAUUGGAUUACGAUGUUUCAACAAUAAUAACUAAUAUAAAAUAUGAAACAUGUACGUUUAGAAAGAAAGAAAAAAAUAUGGAAUAUGAAACAUAUUUUUUUUAUUUGCACUAGCAAUAGCUGAAAUAGGAAACAUGUUUAUAUUGUAAUGUUCCGAGUGAAGGUGUCCAACUCUAUAUUAUCAAUAUUGUCAGUUGAGUUAGUCGUCUUUACGAACUAAAACAUGUUUUUAAGGAUUAAAACAUGUUUCUUAUAGAUGACAACAUGGAUGAAACGUAUGAUCCCAAAAUAAUUGAUGUCGUCCACUUUCUUUAUGCCACUUUAGCAACUUCACUUCUUAUAAAUUUUGCCUGACUAGUUUACUAUAGUUGAUUUAGCACACUUCAGUCAAUCUAUUUCCCUACACUCCUACUAGUACAGUACAAACUACAAAAUCGUUUAUAAAUUUGCAGCAUCAUAUACACAACAUCAUAAACAAAAAAAUGAUGCCUCUAAACUCAUAUUUUACUAUUCUACUAAUUGCUCUCUUAUUUUCAUAUACAUCUUCUUCAAUUGAUACUAGUACACAUGAAGAAAAUUUCCUUGAAUGUCUCUAUAGUUAUUCACAUAACUCAACUUCAAUCUCUGAAGUUGUGUACACCAAAACCAAUUCCUCUUACUCAUCGAUACUCAAAUUUACAACUCAAAAUCUCAGAUUUGCAUCCAACACAACACCUAAACCUCUUUUCAUUAUCACACCUAAACAGAUUUCCCAAAUUCAAACAACCAUAAUCUGUUCACAAAUCCACAACCUGCAGAUUCGAAUCCGAAGCGGUGGCCAUGAUUUUGAGGGUCGGUCCUAUGUUUCUGAAGUCCCAUUUAUCAUCCUUGAUCUCACAAACUUCAGAGAAAUUGAAGUAGAUGUAGAAAACAGGACAGCUUGGGUUCAAUCUGGUGCAACAAUUGGUGAACUUUACUACACAAUUUACCGAAAAAACCAAAAUCUUGGUUUUCCGGGUGGUGAAUGUCCUACUAUAGGUGUUGGUGGACACAUCAGUGGCGGUGGCUAUGGAACCUUGGUUCGUAAAUUCGGGCUUGCAGCUGAUAAUAUAAUUGAUGCUCACAUAAUUGAUGUGAAGGGUAGGUUUCUUGACAGAGAAGCAAUGGGUGAAGAUUUGUUUUGGGCUAUUAGAGGUGGUGGAGGAGCAAGUUUUGGAGUCAUAAUUUCAUGGAAGAUUAAACUUGUUCAAGUUCCAUCAAUUGUGACAGUCUUCAAUGUUCCAAAAACAUUGGAACACAAUGCAACAAAGCUUAUUCACAAGUGGCAGUUUUUGACAAGUAGAAUUGAUGAAAACUUAGAAAUUACUGUUAUCUUACAAAGGGUAAAUUCAAGUAUAAAGGGGAAGUCAAAAUCAACAGUACAAGCUAUAUUUCAAGCCUUGUUUCUUGGAGGAGUAGAUAAGCUCAUACACUUGAUGCAAGAGAAGUUUCCUGAGCUUGGUUUGGUUAGAGAAGAUUGUGUUGAGAUGAGUUGGGUUGAAUCAGUUCUUUACCUUUACGGGUUUCCGAAAGACGAACCACUUGAAACGUUGCUCAACAGAACACUUGCUGCAAAGGAUAUUUACAAAGUAAAAUCUGAUUUUGUCAAAAUUCCCAUUCCUGAAGUUGGAUUAGAAGGAAUAUGGCCUAUGUUUCAUGAAGAUGGUGCCAAAGAUGCCAUGGUGAUAUGUUUUCCUUAUGGUGGCAUAAUGGAUAAUAUUUCAGAGUCUGAAAUUCCAUUUCCACACAGACAUGGAAAUUUAUAUCAAAUUUAUUACUCAGUUCAUUGGCAUCAAGAAAGUGAUGAGGUAGAAAAAAUGAAAAUGAAUUGGAUUGGAAAAUUGUACAGUUAUAUGGAACCUUUUGUUUCAAAGUCUCCAAGAGCUGCAUAUAUUAACUAUAGAGAUCUUGAUAUUGGGGUGAAUAAUAUUAAUGGAUACACAAGCUACAAGCAAGCUAGUGUUUGGGGUGUUAAAUACUUUAAGAACAACUUCAAAAGAUUGAUAAAAGUGAAGACUAAAGUUGAUCCUCUAAACUUCUUCAGAAAUGAACAGAGUAUACCUUCUCUCAUGUGUUCAAGGGACAUAAAGAAAUCCUUGUAGCAGAUAAGGUCAUAAUAGAAUAAUGCAAUAUGCUUUUUUAUUUUUCUUUUAUUUCUGUAUUGUUUUUAAAAAAUAAAAGUUUGGCACAAAAAUGCUACACAAAAACGUUUAGUACGUUUUAGGUGGGUGAGCGUGCGGGUAUGGACCGCGGAAAAUAAAAUUGAGGAAUCAAUUUCCGUAAAACAAAAGAUGUAACACAGCAAAAAAAUAAAAUCCAUGGGUGUUAUGCUAGUAAUUGAGUUUGCUUGCAAUCUAGAUGUCAAUAAUGCUUUCUAUGCUGAAUUGGUGGGUGUUAUGCUAGCAAUUGAGUUUGCUCACAAAAAAUGUUGACAUUGUCUGUGGAUUGAAACAUACUUACAAUUGGUGACUAUGGCCUUCAAAUCUCGCUCUAUAGUUCCUUGGAACUUAAGAAACAGUUGGCUCAUUUAUAUCACUAUUACUAGUAGUACGCAAUUUAUUAUAUCUCACAAUUUCAGAGAAGUAAAUCAAUGUGUUGAUAGGCUUGCCAAUCUUGGCCUGCAAAUGGACAUUUAUCAUCGAUGGGAUAGCAUUCCUCCGACUAUUUUAAAUGCUUUCAUAAGAAAUAGAUUGAGUUUACCUGAAUAUAGAUUUUGUUAGUCUAUUGCUGUUUGAUCGUAUCCCAUAGAGUAUGUUUGGAUGGUGUAAUUGAAAAUUUUAGAGAGUUUAAAAUUGUAGGCAUUUCAAAUGAUUAAAUUGAUUUGCCUACAUUUCUAAAUAUGUUUAUUUGGACAGACUAAUAAAAAAUUAAAAAUUUCCUUCAUUUCUAAAUAUUUUGUAUAACUAUUAUAAGAUGGAUGGUCAAGAUGAUUCCCAUGAUUUAGGAAUCAUCUUGAGCCGUAGAUGAUCGUUCUCGGUUGGUAAUACUGAUUGGGAUGGUCACACUGUUGGACACGCGGUUGUAUGACAAACUCAAAACUAAACAAACUGCCUAAACUUCUAUUUAUUAAAAAAAAUACACAUAUAAAAUGUUAGAGCACAAUCAAUCACUUUUACACUUACACACAGACACACUUGUUUUUCACUUUCUGGUUUUGUCACCAGAGAUGAAGAAGAUUAGAAAAAGGGAGAAAAUUUUAGAGAGUUUUAUGAAGGAGAAAUAGGAUGCACGGUCAUAUUCAAUGAAUCACUAAGUUGUAAUUUUCUUAUCGACAUCAUCAAUUUAUUCAACACUUGAAAGAGCUAUAAUUGCUCAAGUACAUAACAGAAAUAAAACACGAACAAACUAGUUGUUAUAACAGAAAACUAACUCUAUCGACACAGUUACUUGCGCUACAAGAAAACUAUUAUUCUUAACUAAUUUGAAUUAAACUCACCACAUAAAAGAGAAAUAACGAAGCAUAUUACAUUACUCUAUUAUGAACUUAGAUGCUUCAAGGAAUUCUAUCUGUGUCCCUUGGACAAAUGUGAAGGUAUACUUUGUUCAUUUCUGAAGAAGUUUAGAGGAUCAACUUUGGUCUUCACUUUUACCAAUCUUUUGAAGUUGUUCUUGAAGUACUUAACACCCCAAAUACUAGCUUGCUUGUAGCUUGUGUAUCCAUUGUUAUUAUUCACCCCAAUAUCAAGAUCUCUAUAAUUGAUAUAUGCAGCUCUUGGUGACUUUGAAACAAAAGGUUCCAUAAAACUAUACAGUUUUCUAAUCCAAUUCAUUUUAAUUUUUUCCACCUCAUCACUUUCUUGAUGCCAAUGAACCGAGUACAAAAUUUGGUAUAAAUUUCCAUAUCUAUGUGGAAAUGGAAUUUUAGACUCUGAAAUAUUAUUCAUUAUGCCACCAUAAGGAAAAAAAUACACCAUUGAAUCUUUGGCACCAUCUUCAUGAAACAUACGCCACAUUCUUUCUAAUCCAAUUUCAGAAAUGGGAAUUCUCACAAAAUCAGACUUUACUUUGAAAAUAUCCUUUGCAGCUUGUGUUCUGUUGAGCAACAUUUCAGGUGAUUCGCCUUUCGGAAAUCCAUAAAGGUAAAGAACCGAUUCAAUCCAACUCAUCUCAAUACAAUCUUCUCUAACCAAACCAAGUUCUGGAAACUUUUCUUUCAUCAAGGGAAUGAGUUUAUCUACACUUCCAAGAAACAAGGCUUGAAAUAAAGCUUGUACUGUUGAAUUUGACUUACCUUUUUUACUUAAAUUUACCCUUUGCAAGAUAACAUAAAUGGCUAUGUUUUCAUCAAUUGUACUUGUCACAAACUGCCACUUGUGAACAAGCUUUGUUGCAUUUUGAUCCAAUGUUUUUGGCACAUUGAACACUGACACACUUGAUGGAACUUGAACAAGUUUAACCUUCCAUGAAAUUAUGACUCCAAAACUUGCUCCUCCACCUCCUCUAAUAGCCCAAAAAAAAUCCUCACCCAUUGCUUCUCUGUCAAGAAACCUACCCUUCACAUCAAUUAUGUGAGCAUCAAUAAUAUUAUCAGCUGCAAGACCGAAUUUACGCACCAAGUUUCCAUAGCCACCACCACUGAAGUGUCCACCAACACCUACAGUAGGACAAGCACCGGCAGGAAAACCAAGAUUUCGGCUUUUUCGGCUAAUUGUGUAGUAAAGUUCACCAAGUGUUGCACCAGAUUGAACCCAAGCAGUUCUUUUUUCUACAUCUAUUGUAAUUUCUCUGAAGUAUGUGAAAUCAAUGAUGACAAAUGGGACUUCAGAAACAUAGGACCGACCCUCGAAGUCGUGGCCGCCGCUUCGGAUUCGAAUCUGCAGGUCAUGUCUUUGGGAACAGAUUAUGGUUGUUUGAAUUUGGGAAAUAUGUUUAGGUGUGAUAAUGACAAGAGGUUUCGGUGUUGUUUUGGAUGCAAAUCUGAGAUUUUGAGUGGUAAAUUGGAGUAUUGAUGAGUAAGAGGAAUUGGUUUUGGUGUACACAAGUUUAGACAUUGAAGUUGAGUUAUGUGAAUAACUAUAGAGACAUUGUAGGAAAUUUUCUUCAUGUUUAGUAGUAUCAAUUGCAGAAUAUGUGAAUGAAAAGAAAACAGCAAUUAGUACAAUAAUCAAAUAUGAUCUUAGAGGAAUCAUUUUUUGUUGGUUAUGUUAUGCAUAUGCUGCUAGAAAAUUAAUUUAUAAAAUAAUUUCUCUCUAGUAGUAGUGUGGAUAAUAGAUUAAUUAAAUUAAAGCGUGCUAAUUAAAUCUAAUAUGGUAGACAAGUCGGGCAGGGUAUGAGUUCGUUAUCAACUUUACUUCAAAUUGGAAAAUAAUUUUUUUGAAACUUAGUUGUAACCAAAUCAUUUGUGAUUAGGUUUUAAUUUGGGUGGCAUUUAGAAUGCACAAGUGAAACUUUUUGUGUAUCAUACACAAAUGAGUUUUUCACCAUUAAUAUAUUAUUAAAUAAUUGAAUGGCCAAGAUUGAAGAAUGGUUACUUGUUUAAUGAGUCUGGUGUUCAAUUGUUGGUAUUUGCCUUAUGGUGUCUAACAGUAAUAGAAUUGCAUAGAUUCAUUUAUGAAAAAAAUAUUACGUAAAAAUAAUAAAAAUAUUGAAUACUAAAAAAGUAAUAAUUUUUAUCGGAAAAUAGUUCAUAAAAUUGUUUUUAUUUUUUGAAACCGUUCAUAAUUUAUUUUUAGAAAUAAUUCAUAUUUUGAAUGGAAAAUAAAAGUAUUAUUUUUUUUUUCAAAGAAAAAUAAAAUUAGUAUUAUACAACUCUAAUAUAUAUAGGGAAAGUUAAGGGUAUCACCACCAUUUUUUAAUUUAGAAUUAGAACAACUGUGAGAAAAAAAUAGAUUUUUUUUUUAGAACAUGAAACUUUAUCAUGUGUAUAUAUCCUUUAACUAGAAUGAUCAAAUGUUUCUUAUUCUGUUCAAGAUAACAAAUAUUCAUUUAAUACAGGUUUAAUGUUCAUGACAUUCUUCAUUGUAAAGAAACCUGAGAAUGUUGUUGUUUGUUUCUACUCCUAGAUGACAAAUAUUCAUUGAUUAACUCACCCAAACUAAAUAAAAUUACAUGAAAAUUAAGAAAUUAUUAGGAAAAAAAUGAAGCUUCAUUUCACACAGAGGAUGUUGUUGUUUGUAUCUAUUCCCAGAUUCAGAAAAAAUCAUUCAUCUUCAACAAUUUGGUGUUCUUUCUGCAAAAUCCAGAUCUGAGAAAUAAAAAUCCAGAAAUCAUAAAACAAACCUAGAAAUUGGUUGGCUUUAAAUCGCUGCUUUAGAUACGGGAAAACUCUAUGAUCUUCAUGGAGAACCCUAUAUCCAUUAUAAUUCAUUGCUUGGUGUUCGUCAAUCAUUUGGGAGUUCUUCCUAAAAUUCCAAAUUUAAUAAACCAUUUAUCUUCAUCUACAUUAACGUGAUCUUCUCCCUUCCCUUUUUCGUAGCAUAAAGGGAUACACAAGAAAGAUUCAUGCCCAAAAAAAUUUGUCAAAAAAGAUGAGGCGUAGAAAAGUUGGGUGGAUGAGGAAGAUGUGUUGUUGGUUCCAUCAAUGAAAGUGAAAUUGUUAGACAUAGUUGUUGCUGGUUGGUAAAGAAAAAAGAAUUUAUUUGAUUUGUGUUUAGUUGAGUAAUGACAAAAAAUAACUGAGACAACAUAUAUAAUUAUUGAGAUUCAAGUGGUCAAAUAUAUAAAAAUAUAGAAAACAGGCAGUACCGACUAUCGUAAGUAGAAGGCUACUUGGGUAUCAUACACAAAAUCAUUGAUUUGUGCAUGUUAAACGCCACCUUUAAUUUGGGUAGGUGACAACAUACUAUUCAGUGGAGUGCACACUUUCACGCUGUGGUUUUUUGUUUUUUGCUUUUGAGAGCUAAUAAUGUUGACAUGUGAUUGUGGCAGUGAUAAAUGAGUCUCACUGAUUUUCAUGUCGUAUAGGGAAAUGUGUUUCUACACUUGAGAACUAAAAUCUCUUCUAUAUAUAUAUUUGCCUUUGCCCGUGAUCUCGUAUAUACAGCUUUAUGCUGGUACGUAUAUUUGUAUUAUCUUUUUGUUUCUGUUUCUAGUAUUUCUAUUUCACACGUUCGUCCAAAGAAAAUUUUGCUGUCCUGCGUGCUUUGUGCAGAUUAGUUGUGGCAUAAGAAAUGCGAAGAAUAUAGAGGAAGAAGAUUAGAACCUUAAUUUGGAGAAGAAGGUGUUGGGUCCAGCCAUUGUCACAUGGUCAUGGUGCAUGUGAAGAUAGAGAGUUGCAUGUUUGUAAUUUGGUGUGUUGCAUAAGAGCAAGUCUUUUAUGUUUGCAACCCCAAAUCAAAAAAUAUUUAGGUAUUCUCACAUAUAAUGAAAAAAAAUUAAAAGAUAUAAAAUUAAAUGAUGUUAAUUGAUGAGACUAAAUUAAUUUUGUUUUAACUGUUUUUAUUUCAUGUGAUUGUGUCCAAAUAUUUUUGAUUUGAGGUUAUAAUCAUAAAAGACUUACUAAUGUAAAUUGUAAAAUGCACGUAAAUGACAAAUAUCAACAAGAAGAAGAAGAAGCAAGAAGCAUACUCUUGCACAAGAGAGCCCUACAAGAGAUAAAGAGCGAGAGCAAAAUAGAUCAUAGUGUUUCUUUGUGAGGGAAAAAUUAUACCCACUAAUGUGUGAAGUUUUUAUGUUCCCAUUAUGUACGGUGGAAGUUUAAGUGGCCUACUGAUCCCGUUCACUUUGAGAAGGUUUUUCUAUGUUGAAUAUUUUUUGGUGUUACUUUGCUCAUUUUAUUAUGUCACUAGGGUUUAUUUUGAGUUCAAGGAGGAGAGGGAAAUUGUUGAGGCAUUUCCCAAUAAAAUGGAGAAACUCAGAUAGGUUGAAAUCUUAAUCACACAUUUUUGUGUAGCAAAUGUGAGGUAAAAAUUGUAAUCCAUCUGGAAUGAAAUGCAAGCAAAACUGAUAGUUGAAAAAUCAAUGUAUGUGAUUAAAAAUUUAGUCUCCAUAUAUCAGAUUUUCAUCUAUCCUUUUUGCUUAUAUUUCAUCCCAAAGGAAGUAUAUUGGAUGAAAUUUUUGAGAGACUAAAAAUAAAAAUUUGAAAAUUUAUAGGGAUCAAAACAUAUUUUAAUCCUUAUUGGGUUGAAAAAUUAUUCUAAAUUUCAUCAUAAUUUUUUUUUUGGUUGCAAAGAUAAUAAAAGGAACAAACAAGAAAGAAAAAGAAAACUGAAAAAACAAGCUUAAUAUUCCCUAAGGAAGAAAGUGCCAGUGACAUCGCUUCUAAGAAGAUUGGCGAGACCAGCAAGGGACGACUCAUAAAUAACAAGGCCAACAUCAAAAGAAGAUUCAAGCUUUGUAAGGAAAUUCGCACAAUAGGUCCCUUAUCUGAGAGUGUGCCAAACCGUAAAAGUACUUUGAAGAAGUAAAUCUUUUAUGUCUUGGAUAAUGACCGUAUAAACAUGGUAUUUCUCCAUGGACCAUUAAUAAAAUUCAUUUAAAUAAGAGAGUCAGAAUAACAAACUAGCUCCGUAUAACCCAAAUCUUUGGCCAUAAUUAGACCAUAAUAGAUAGCCGAAAGCUCAGCCAACAUAAUAUCAUCUGAGUCUAGAAUAAAACAUGAUUUCAUCAUAAAUUUGAUAGAACUAACAUUGUCAUAAAUUUGCUAGCAUUAACUCUAAGACCACCUACGGUGAAAGAUUUUUUUUUCUCCCCAUUUAACAACCUUCUAAAUUGACAUGUGUCUUUAGAAAAAUGAAUGCCUAUAUAGAUGUAUGUUUUAAAUUUAUGAAAAAUGCAAAUUUGUACAUUUAGGGCACAUGCAUGUUGAUAUAAAAAAACAAAAAGAACAAAAAUUCUAGGAAAAAAUAAAAAUUAGACCUAUUGAUUUUCACUCAGUCAUAUGAUGUUUUUUUGUUUUGUUUUGAAGGACUCAGUCAUAUGAUGUUAAGAUUUUCUUUUUUACUAAUGUUAAAAAUGAGUCGAACUUAGUUCAAUAAAUAUCUGGUCAACUUUAUUUUGACAAAAGAAAAUUGAUUAACUUGAAACUCAAGUUAAUUUGUUACAAACAACUUUUCUGGCUCGAACUCACUUAAAACAACUCGCUUCAAUGUGCGGUCUAUAGGGGGAGAGUGUGUAAAAGAGUACUUUUUCAACGUGGGAAGUCAAUAUGACAAUGUUCCCUAAUUCAGACUUUUGUCCAGUGCUCCCUUCUUGUUCUUCCUAUGAUUAAAUUCAAGAUAGCAGUUGGCACAUCACAACUAGGGCCGUUCCUACGAAUUUGGAGGUACGAUGCUGGAAGUGAAAUGAGACCUAUAAUAAAAUGCAACGUUGAUCAAGCUGUAAAAUAAAAUGUUGAGGUUGAACCAUAAAAUAAAAUUAAGACAUAAUUAGUAAUUAGCAACAUUAUCAAUUAUACAUGUUAAAACAGAGAAUAAUCAAAAACUUAUAAAAUUAGGAACAGAACAGUGUCAGUGUUGUUUUGGAAAGGGGAAAACGUUAAUCUCUAUUUGAACUUCUAUAACUUAUAAAAUUAUGCAUGUUAAUCUCUAUUUGAACUUGUCAGCCUCAUAAAAUUUAUAAAAUUAAACCAUAAAUCAGCCAAUUUAGCAAUUUGAAAAACUCAUAAAAUUAAUCUCUAUUUGAAGAACUCAUAAAAUUAAUCUCUAUCAAUCGCUAUUCCAACAUUUAGCAAUUUUAACAUUCAAUAAAAAUCAGCCAAUUCCAUGAAAGGAAGUAAAAUAAAUCAAUGAAAGAGAGGUUAUUUACCUAAGGGAGUAACAGUGUCAGUGUUGUUUUGGAAAGGGGAAAACAUCAAUAGGAUGGUCGAUGAUGAUGAUGGUAUGGUCAAAAAUCGAAUUGGUUGAGAGAUGCAGUCAGAGGAAACGUUUGAGUAGUCGACAAUCGCGUUUGAAUCAUGAAGGAAGAAGAAAAACGAAAAAUUGAUGGUGAGAGGAAUGGAACGCGCGUUGGUAUGUAUCAGAGAAAGAGUAUUUUUUUUUUUAGUGGGGGGUACUGGGCUAUAAUUUUUUUUUAGGCCCAUACCCAAGGGAGGCUCGAUGCUAUAGCGCUGCUUGCACCCCAGGGUCCGGCCCUGGUCACAACCCUUUGAAACUCAAAACCAGAACCAAUAGCAACAUUUUUGUUGAAAUUUCUUGUUCUUCCUAUGAUAUUCAGACAAAAUCUUAAAUCUAUUUUGUUGAAAAAACUGAAAAUUUUGAAGGUUAAUAUCACUAUGUUCGAACGGCUACAUUGAACUAAGAACAUCUUUAAUGGGAGGUCCUUACUUAACAAGGACCACUCCCUGUUAAGAACCCCCAUUGGAGGAAGAAAAAAUGAAUCCCCAUUAAGGAACAGGUAACUAUAUAAGAAUCCCCUCUCUCCUAGGUAACUAACGGAUUUCACGUUUAAAAGAAGUAAUAAAAUAUGUAAUAUGUGGUCCCGCUUACAAAAGAAGUAAUAUUUUAAUAAUUAAUAGUUGUUUUAAAUAUUAUUUUAUCUAUUUAUCAUCAUUUUAAAUAAAAUGUAAUUCAUGCAAAUUAUUAUUAUUUUUUAACGAAUGAAUGUAAAAUUUGUAAUGAUAUUUUUUCCAUUUUCAAAUUAUUAGCAAAUGUGGCAGAAAUUUAAGUUUAUACGAAUAAAUAAAUAUUUUAUAAUUUAAUUUUUUUAAGGAUUAUAAUUAAUAAAUUAGUAAAUAAAUAUUUUUUAAGUUUUUACAAAUGUGGUCAUUUAUAAUUUAGUAAAUAAAUUAUUUUUGUUUAAUGAUGUAAAGUUAGUGGGGCCUAUUUAAGUACUUUUUAUUGGAGUCCUUAUUAGUGUACUCUCAUUGGAGCCAUUGAGUCAUUAAUAUGUAUUUUUAUUAAAAUAUUAUAAAUAAAUGAUGUGUAACAUGGGGUCCAUUUAAGGAGUCCCUAUUAAGGAACUACCAUUGUAGAUGCUCUUACUUAACAAGGACUACUCCCCGUUAAGAACCCUCCAUUGGAGGAAGAAAAAACGAGUCCCCCUUAAGGAACGAGUAACUAUAUAAGGACCUCUCUCUCCUGGGUAACUAACGAGUCUCACGUUUAAAAAAAAUAAUAAAAUGUGUACUACUUGGUCCCACUUGCAUAAAUGAGUAAUAAAAUGUGUACUACUUGGUCCCACUUGUAAAAAGGAGUAAUAUGUAAAUUAUUUUUCUUUAAUGAUGUAAAGAUAGUGGGACAUAUUUAUAUUUAAGUACUUUUCUUUGGAGUCCUUAUUAGUGUAUUGUCAUUAGAGUCAUUGAGUCCUUAAUAGGUACUUUUAUUAAAAUUAUAAAUAAGCGAUGUGUUUCGUGGGAUCCAUUUAAGAAGUCCUUGUUAGGAAACUAUCAUUGUGGAUGCUCUAAGCGUUGGUACGAAGCACAAAGAUGCAUUUAAUUUUAUAUGGUUUAUAUCUAAUCCUUUCCCAACAAAAUCAACACUUAAGGAAGAAAAAAAAUGCAUAAAAUCUUCAAUGUGAUAAAAAAAAAAGGGUCAUGUUAACUAGUGCCCCCGGGGCACUAGUUAAGAAAACUAUAAAGAGAAAAUUUUAAAUUAAAAAAAACACUUUAUUGACUUUUAAGGGAUUGCCAACACAAUUUUCAAUGUAAAUACAUACUAUAUUUAGUUCUUAACUAAACUAGUGCCCCGAGGGCACUGGUUAAGAUUCCCUGACAAAAUAGCAACUCAAUAUGAGAAUUUGAUGGAACUGUAAUUUUUUUUUUUGUAUUACUAUAUAAAUAAUAAAUGUGGGAAAAUGCAAUAUACUCGUAUACGGGUCGGUUUGAUAGACUUUUUUUUAUAAGUCUAAGCCUAGUCUAUUUAGAUUAAUAGGCUUUUAAAAAGCUCAUAUUUAACCUAUUUAUUAAACGAGUUAGACCGAAUUUUUGGUAGGUCGAGCCAUAGACCCUAACGGACGAUUUGACCUAUUCCCACAUGUAACUGAUCUGUUAGAGCACAAUACAGCUCACAAGUACUACAAAUAAGACUAAGAUAACAUAAUUAUAAGACUAAUAUAGGGUAAUUAAAAGAAUAAGAUAAAGUAAUUUUUUAAAAGACCCAAAUUAAAAACAUAUAGGACUAAGAAAAAGUAAUUUGAAAAAUAUUGUAUCAACUGUUAACAUAUGCAGCUCACAAGUACUACAAAAGUAGUACAACGAAGACCAAUACAAAUCAUAUAGAUGUACCGUAAAUAGUGUUUUUGAAAAAUUGCAUGAUAAGUAUUCUCUUCUCUCUCUUUUUUUACUCAAAUAUUCUCUUGAUGAUAAGUAUUAAAAAUUGAAAAAAUUGUAUUAAAAUUUACGUAAAUAAUAUUUUCAUGAUGUCAUAGUGGCCAGCAUUCCCACUACAUAAUGUGAGGCAAUUGAUUAUUUAGAAAAAUGAUAAACCUAAUCACUUGGACUGAAGUUUUGUUGUAACUUGAAGAGGUUGACAAGAGAUUAAUUAAAGCAUGUUGUUCUUAAAUAUUCUCUAAUUCAUUUUGUUUAUAGCAUAUGAGUAAGUGUGAUACUAUUCAAGUCUUCGCUCCUCUCUUUUUUCCCUUAAAUGCAAAUGUAAUGAUGAAUCAAAUGAUAAGAAAUGCUGAUUGAAGCAGCAGACAAAAUAAUCAAACAAAAACAAGAGGGAGCUAGCCAAGCCACAAAAAGAAAUGAAAACAGCUCUAAGUAACAAACAAGCCAAUUACGAUGAAACACAAGACUAAUUAGUUAAUUUAGUAAAAAAAAGACUAAUUAGUUAAUUUAGUAAAAAAUAAGACUAAUUAGUUAAUUAAGUAAAAAAAAUAAGACUAAUUAGUUAAAUUGAUACCAAUUAAGACCCGACCUCUAACAAUGAAGUUUGUCGCAUAUUAUGUAAAGAAGCCGAUGGAGGUACCUUACACUUUCGGUUUAACUUAUUGUACAAUUCCGAAUAAGAUUACCGAAAGUAUAAUUUAAAGACUAAAUUGUUUAGCCUAUGGAGUAUUUCAGAGACUAAACUAAUUAACUAGAUCUUAGUUUGAAUUAGUCGAUUGGACCAACCAACCAAGUUGUAUUCUCUCCAAUUGUCAAUUUCAUAUCUUUAAACUAAUUUUUUGUGCAAGUUAACUUUUUAAUUAUGUUUUGUUUUUAAUCAGAACACCUUGUAUCUGAAUUGGAUUAUGAUGUUUCAACAACAAUUAAAUUUUUUUUUGUCAAAACAACAAUUAUUAGUUAUUAUCCCUUAAAAAAAAAAAAAUUAGUUAUUAUGGCCCCGUUUGGAUAAACAACUUAUAUAGAUGCUUAUAGCAUUAGAGCUUAUAACAUUAGAGCUUACAUCAUAAACUCUUAUACUUGAUAAACUAUUUAUGUUUGGAUAUGUACACUAAAAAGUACUUACAUAAAUUGAAGUGUUUGGAUGUGACAUUACAUAAACAAUUAUCGAAAUUUUAAAUAUUUUUAAUUUAACAAAAAAAAUUAAAGAAUCGAACCACAAUUGUCAAGAUUUUUUUUGAUAAAAUUAAUCAAGAUGUAAAAAACAAUAUUAUAAUAUAUUAAUUAUAAUUAUAUAUAUAGUAUAAUCAAUAUUCGUCUUUAAAAAAUAUCAAUAUUCAUAUAAGACAAAAUUAACAUUUGAGGUGUAAAUAAAUAGUCUAAACAUCAUCAUACACAAGUAUAAUAAUAUAUGAUAAGCUUUCUUUUAAAAAAAAGUAUAAAAAUAUAAAUAUAAACUUGAGAAAUUAUGAUUGUAAACUUACCAUAUAUGUAGAUAUUAAUGUACAGUUUGUUACAAAAAAUGAAAGAUAAGUUAAGUUUAUUUUUUUAUUCAGUUUCAUUUUGUUACGAAACAAAAAAAUAAUAAAAAUCUUAGUUACGUGUGUUACUUUAGUAAGAUAAGUAUAUAACAAUUUUGUUACUCAUGCACAAUCAAAGAUAACUAACAUUAUAAUUAAAAUAUAUGUUUUUUUUAAAACAAAAAAAUAAAAAUAAAAUAUAUGUUUUGAAAAAGUGGAUCCAGAGAGAAUCGAAGGUUACAUAAAUUCAUAAGCUCCUUGUUAAGCCCCGUAAACUGAAAAUUCAGGCUUAUUAAAAUAUGGCAUAAGCAGCUUAUGAAACUAUGAUAAACUAUUUUUAUUUAUUUACCCAAACACCUUUAAAAAGGAUUAUGAGAGUAGAUAAGCCCACAUAAGCUCAAAAUAAGUCAAUUACGGAGCCUGUAUGUUUCAACAAUAUAAACAACGUGAUUCCGAAAGAAAACCAAAAGAAGUAGUUUUUCUUUGAAAAUAACAACUUUUUAGUUUUUAACAAAACAUUUUUAUAUUUUUUUGUACAAAAUUGAAUUUACCACUUUUCAUAAAUUUCUCAACAACGUGAAUUUACCACUUUUCAUAAAUUUCUCAACAAAACAUUUUUAUAUUUUGUUGUCUUAAUCAAUAUUAUAAGAGCACUCUUUAUCAUUAUUUUUUUUAAUUAAUAUGACCAAUUGAAACAAAAAUAAAUUAAACUCUAAUGGUUAAUAAGUUCGACCAAAUGUGAAUCAUUUGAAAAACUGAAGUUUAGAGGGUUAACAACCACAAAUACGACCAAUCGAUUGUCCACUUUCUUUAUUCAAUGUUUGGAAUGGUCUUCCUUCAUGUUUAGCAAGUAGCAGAACUAACAUAUUUUUAUAGUAAGCAAGAGGACUUUUGAUAUAAAUUAAAAUCACUCAAUCAUUCAAAAUGUCAAGAUAACGUAACGUGGUUGACUUUAUUAGGUAGGUAGUAUGUUUUUUAUAUUGAAUAAAUCAUUUGCCACAUGUGGCAUAUCAUAGUACACUAACUUUUUAUAUUAUAUGCACUACUAAGUACCAAUAUAAAUUAUAACCUAUAGAAACAACUCUCGCUUAUGAAUUUGAACAUCAUUUGAUCAAAAUCACAAACAAAAAAUGAUGCCUCUACGCUUAUAUUUGACAAUUGUACUAAUAGCAAUUGCAUUUUCAUUUACAUCUUUUGCAAUUGAUACAAGUCCUCAUGAAGAUAAUUUCCUUCAAUGUCUCUAUAGUUAUUCACAUAACAUAACUUCAAUCUCUAAAGUUGUGUACACAAAAACCAAUUCCUCUUACUCAUCAAUACUCAAAUUUUCAAUUCAAAACCUCAGAUUUGCAACCAAUGAAACACCAAAACCCCUUGUCAUUAUCACACCUACACAAAUUUCCCAUAUUCAAACAGCCAUAAUCUGUUCCCAACACCAUGGCAUGCAAAUUCGAAUUCGUAGUGGUGGCCACGACUUCGAGGGUCUCUCCUUUGUUUCAAAUGUUCCUUUUGUAAUCAUUGAUCUCACAAACUUUAGAGGAAUUGAUGUAGAUGUAGAAAACAGAACUGCUUGGGUUCAAUCUGGUGCAACCCUUGGUGAACUUUACUACAAAAUUGCCCAAAAAAGCAAAACUCUUGGUUUCCCUGGAGGUGUUUGUCCUACUGUAGGUGUUGGUGGACACUUCAGUGGUGGUGGCUAUGGAACCUUGUUGCGUAAAUACGGUCUUGCGGCCGAUAACGUCAUUGAUGCUCACAUAAUUGAUGUGAAGGGUAGGUUUCUUGACAGAGAAGCAAUGGGUGAAGAUUUGUUUUGGGCUAUUAGAGGUGGUGGAGGAGCAAGUUUUGGUGUCAUAGUUUCAUGGAAGAUUAAACUUGUUCAAGUUCCAUCAACUGUAACGGUGUUUACUGUUCCAAGAACAUUGGAACAAAAUGCAACAAAGCUUGUUCACAAGUGGCAGUUUGUAGCUCAUAAACUUGAAGAAAACUUAGCCAUUAAUAUUAUCUUGCAAAGGCUAGAUUUAAAUUCAAGUAAACAAGGUGAGCCAAAGUCAACAGUACUAGCUUUAUUUCAAUCCUUGUUUCUAGGAAGUGUAGAUAACCUCUUACCCUUGAUGGAAGAAAAGUUUCCUGAACUUGGUUUGGUUAGAGAAGAUUGUGUUGAAAUGAGUUGGAUUGAAUCAGUUCUUUACCUUUUUCGGUUUCCAGAAGGCGAACCACUUGAAACGUUGCUCAACAGAACACUAGCUGCAAAGGAUAAUUCCAAAGCGAAAUCUGAUUUUGUCAAAAUUCCUAUUCCUGAAACUGGUUUAGAAGGAUUAUGGCCUUUGUUUGAUGAAGAUGGUGCGGAAGAUGUACUAAUGGUAUUGUUUCCUUAUGGUGGCAUAAUGGAUAAGAUUUCAGAAUCUGAAAUUCCAUUUCCACAUAGAUAUGGAACCUUAUACAAAAUUCAAUAUGCAGUGCACUGGCAUCAAGAAGGUGAUGAGGUGGAAAAGUUGCACAUCAAUUGGAUUAGAAAACUUUAUAGUUAUAUGGAACCUUUUGUUUCAAAGUCUCCAAGAGCUGCAUAUAUUAAUUAUAGAGACCUUGAUAUUGGGGUGAAUAACAUUAAUGGAUACACAAGCUACAAGCAAGCUAGUAUUUGGGGUGUUAAGUACUUCAAGAACAACUUCAAAAGAUUGGCAAAAGUGAAGACAAAAGUUGAUCCUCUAAACUUCUUCAGAAAUGAACAAAGUAUACCUUCUCAUGUGUCCAAGGGACGCAAAUAGAAUUUCUUGGAGCUCAAAAGGUCAUAGUAAUAAAAUACAAGCUGCUUUGUUAUUUCUCAAUGAUAGUUAUCUUUUAUAUGUGUACUUUUAAUUUAUACUCAUACUUAAGAAAGGAAUGAAUGAAUGCUUAUAGAUUAGCAGUGGCAGAUUCAUAAGCUUAUUGUAAAAUGUUGAGAAGUAUGGAAAUUCCCAACAAAUAGAAAAAUAAAAUGAUAGAAAGGUUUAUUUUGGAAUUGAUAGUAUGAAGAAGCUUAGUCAAUUGAUAGAAACUAAAUAGUUUUCAUAAGCAGUAACAAAAGAAAGAUAUACAACAGAUUGCAUAAAUGAAAGCUUCCCAAAUUUUCUGGUAAACCAUAUAGGACCAAAUUAUUCUUUCGACAUAUAGAUUAAAAAGGGAGCGAAAUCAGAUUUGUCAUCACUAUUAAUGUAUUUCUUCGAAACAUAAGUAAAAUUAGUCCUCCGCUAUUAAGUUAGGGCUCUUAAAUUAGAAAAUGCAGCACACAUGUUGCGAAAGAGAGGUCAGCUAGGUAAUGUCCUAGAGCCAAUCUUAAAUUUUCAUUCAGAAAGUUAGAAGAAAUGCAAAAACAGAUUUGUUGCAGAAAAUAUGAGCAGAGAGCCAAAGAAAAUAAAGGCAACAUGUUCCUCGUUAGAACCUUCUGAGUUAGUUUUGUGGAAAGCCAUAACGACGGAGAAAAACUACUAAUAGAUUUGUCAUUGGUGUGCCUAACUGGAUUUUCGACAGAAGGGUUGAUAGUUUCGCGUCAUAUCUAAGACCUCUAACAACCAAUCAUGCCAUAUUGAAAAUGAAAAUUACUAGUAGUGCUAUUCCAAAAGAAUAAAAAAGUUAUAAUUAAAGGCUUUUCGAUUUUUCUUGUCAAAAGGGGAUCUGAUAGAAUGCAUAUUUUUCUUGAAAACAACGGUAUAAUUCUUUCUGGAGUCCUAAAUACAAGAGACAGUUGAAUCAACAAAAGUUGUUUAGGACCGGAAGGAAUAAGAAGGAAGAGAAAGCAAUGGUUUCUUGGUUUUCAAGAUUUGGGAAAGUUCCCUCAAAAAGAUUUGGCACAAGCUCCGGAGCAAGCAUAGGACCAAAAAAAGCAAGGGAUAAUGAAGAUUUCUUAUGCUUGAAAUGGUUGAUUAUCUAACUUGCUUGGCAAAGAUAUUUCUUUUUCAGAACUGGUUCAUUAGGCACUAGUGGAGUGGUAGCAGUAAAAGGUUGAGGAAAUGUCAUUGAUGGUUGGAAGAAAGAGGAGGGAAGAAGAAGGGUUAGAGCUAAUGAAGUGAGAUUAAAAUCACAAAGACAAUGGUUAUUUAUAAGGAGAAAUUGGAAAAAAACAGUUGCUAAAAUCUAGGAAAAUUAUGUGAUUGCUUAAUUUUCAGGUACAAGAAAUUGAUUGGUUAAUUUUGUACGAGCAAGUGGUCGUGGAUAUGAUUAAAUUCAGAUUUUUGGAAGUGGUUUUUAGUAACAACUUCACUCUAUUUAAUGCUAUUAUUUGCAAAAUGUCCUUCAAUGAAAUCAAUUUCCAUAUAACCAAGUUGUUUGGGCUCCAGCGGCAAGGAGUUCCUUCCAAGGACGUAUUCGGAGAAUACCGGGUUCGAUUCUCAGGGGAAACAACGCUUGGCCAGUGCGCAUGCCUCUACGCAUGAGCCGAAUUAAUUGUCCACCUUUGGUGGGUCGGAAACCGAUGCGAAAGCAAAAAAAAAAAAUCAAAAUAUAAUUAAAAGUAUUGGGUAGUUUAGGAAGUACAAUUAUGUUUUUGUUUACAUCAAGAAAAUUAAUUAAAUUUAACCACUUUUCUUAAUCUAUAUAAAAAAAAAGUUGUAUUACUCAUAAUUGAAUGAGAGAGAUCCAAGGAAAAAAGUGAAUAGAGUACUUUAUCUAACAUGUACAAGUAAAAUGGUAUUGCAUUAUGUAUAAAUAUCAUUUUUUAUCAUUGAAUUGAAAAAUCAUAUCAUAUUUAAUUUAAUUUAAUAGUGAGAUUUAUUUCACUUGUGGAUAAUAGAAUUGGCCAAAACAUAUCUAAGAAAAACGAAUUGGCCAAAACAUGGAUAUGUUCUUGGCAAAAUCACACCUUAAAGAAAAUAGUUUGAAUCUAGGUUUAUCGAUAACGGAACUUGAGAUUCAGUUAGAGCAGUUGAUAAUACGUACCAAUAGUAAACGUGAUCAAAUGGUACCUAGCAAAUAAUUUACUUAUCAGAAGUGGACUCAUGUGAACCAAACCAUUGGGAUUAUGUGGGGUAACUCAGUAGUUAUUUUUGGAUCCAGGUCUACAAGAUUUACCGUCUAACUUGUUCACGUGGAAGAUACUCGGUUUGUUUCCAAAAAAUAUGAUAUAUGUGUAGUCAAAUACUCUAAAAUAUCAUGAUAAAUAAUUUUUUUUUUUGAAAAAACUAAACUAGUCCAACCAAAUUGACAAAAUAUGGAGAUCAACCAUGAGAUCUUGAGGAAGAGUCCUAAGCCAAUACUACCGGACCAAUCCAAGUGAAUUUCAUGUUAAAUAUCAAGAGAGUUUAAUAUCAUUAGUCUAUUAGUUCAUUAGUCUAUUUUAAACAUAGAACAAAUUGAUACUUAAUUAAAUGUGUUCAUAUGAAAUGAUUUGUUUUUGGUCGAAAAUAUGAAAUAGAUUUUUAAAUAGACUAAUAACUCAUACCAGACUUUCAAAAUAUUAGACUUAAAUCUUUUACAUCUCUGACUUCAGUCUUGCAAAUAUUAGAUUAUUAAGGGUUCUAGCAGAAAAAAAAAAUCAACUAAAAAAUAGUUAGUUGUCGAAUUUCCUAUAAUUUUGAUGUAUAUUUAUAUUUAAGUUUUGAAAUAAAAAUGAAUUGCUAAGGGUAAUUUUGUUUAGCAAAAGGUCCGGUCAAUAGGUAGUUAAUUGAUAGUUAACUUUCGAGUUGCCUUUAUAAAAUUUAGCGGAAAUACGAACACUUUUUUUUUUUUUUUUAUUGUUUUUCGUUGUACAUAUAUUUUACAUAAACUUAUUUAAAUUCCAUUUUUAAUAUUAAGUUUAUACAUUUUUAAGUUUGAAAUAUAAAAAUAAUGUUCAACAAAGAUAGGUAAUUACUUUUCAAAUACCCUAUAAUUAUGUCGUCGAUUUGAGUUUAAAUUUAAACGUAAUAAAUUAAAUGGUUUUCUUAAGGUGAACUUGGUUAAAAAAAUAUCUAACCAAAAAAUAACUACAUGAUAGAUAAGUUUUGAGUUUUUGUCCAAAAAAAAUGUACCUUUUGAGUUGUUGACAAACAUACACAGACAUGAGACACAUAAAUGGAGAGAGAGAUAUAUCAAACUACAUCAAUGAAUGUUACGUCAAUAUUACACCGCUCAAUAAUACAGUAUUACAUUACGCAACAACACUUAUGCUAGACUCCAAACACUUGGUUAUUUAGAAAACUCAUAAGCGUAAUCACUUGGAUUAUGAGUCAAAAAAUCAGUUGAAUUAAAUUUUAAUUUGCUGCAAGCCUGCAACUUGAAGAGGUUGAUGAGAGAUUAAUUAAAACAUAUGUUUUUUUUAGGGGAUAAAGCAUAUGUUGUUUAUAUUUAUUAAUAUUGUUCGAGUCUUUAGUCCUCUUUUUUUUAAAAUAAAAAUAAAAAUUGAUGAAUAGAAUAAUUAGUUAUGCUUAUUGAAAUAGCAGACAAGAUAAUCAAACAUUAGAAACAGUCAAAAACAAAAGGGAGCCAAGCAAUCGAAAUACAUUAAAACAGCUCUAAAUAGUAUAAAUAGCAUACAAAUCAAUCAUAUACAAUUAAACACAAAACUAAUUUGCUUCUCCAAUAUGAUGUCACUUUGGAAUAAGUGGCUUAGACCAAGGUGUGUUCUUCUCCAAUUGUCACAUAUAUAUUAAUAAUUUAGUGCAUGCUUUCUCUGAAUUGGAUUGUGAUGUUUCAACGAUAACUAAUACUAGUAAUUAAAUUUGUUUCUAAUACAAGACGUACGGUCAUGUAUCUGUUUUCUUAAUUUAUGCAACUUUUGUAAUGGUCCCCUUGCAUUGCAUAUUUAUUGUUUAGCAAGUAGCCAUAACCACUUCUAAUUCAAACCAAAGAAACUUUAUUUUAAUAAUAAUAAAAUGUUGAAAUAAAACCACAUACCCUGUCUGUUUAGCAAGGAAAAUUUUCUAAGCUUUGUGCAUCAAGUAAAAAAGGUGAGUCAAAGUCAACAGUACUAGCUUUAUUUUAAGCCUUGUUUUUUUGGAGGUGUAGAUGAACUCAUGCCCUUGAUGCAAGAGAAGUUUCCUGAGCUUGGUUUGGUUAGAGAAGGAAUAUGGCCUAUAUUUGAUGAAGAUGGUGACAAUGAUACUGUUUCCUUAUGGUGGCAUAAUGGAUAAUAUUUCAGAAUUUGAAAUUCCAUUUCCACAUAGAUAUGGACAUGGCCAGUUAUGUGUAACUGCAACAAGGCCCUUGGCGCCGCAAAGCCUCUAACAUAAACGGGCCUCAAAAUUUGAAAAUAAAAAGCUUGUACUCACUAAGGAUGUUUUUUCUGUCCAUAAAAAAAUUACUUUAUAGUUAAAAAAAAAAUGUAUCAAAACCACCGUUGAAUACUUCUUUGGAAAAAGUUGGAAAUUUUGGGUGUGCCUGUCGUAUUAUGUGUCACAUAUAUGUGGGAUGUUAUUUAGUGUUUUGAGGUCUAUUGAACAAGCUAUAUUUGUGAGUUUGAUACCUGUUUUUGUUUAGUAAAAUACAUUUUUAGUUACUAUAUAUUUAAAUUUUCAAGUUUUGUAUUUUGCGGUGAUUAAAAAAUUCACAUUUUUUUAUUCCAUACAAGUAAUCAAUUCCAUCUAAAAAUUGAUGUCAGUUUAGCCAUUGAAAAAUCUAUACAAACCUGUGAAUGCCUUCAAAUAAUUGGAAGGUUAACAUUGAAUCUUAUGAAUGACAUCCAAGAGGGUUGUCUUACAUUGCAAUGGAUUUUAACCUAAAAAGCUAUUACGUGUUAAUCUAAGGUUAAUUAAUUUUCUGAGACUCAAGGCUUUGAUUGGCUUGAAGAAAUCGAUUGACAUUUCUAUGAUGAUCAAAGGUAGCAUUAAUAAUUUGAUCGGAUGCAACGUCUUCUUUCAAAUCUCAGCCAUGACAAAAAAAAAAAAAAAUGAAGGUUCAAGUUAGCAAAAGUGCACAUUUUUAUUUGAAUAAAAAAAAAUUAAUAUUCAUUAGUGUAAACCAAUUUAAAGCAAGAGAUAAUUAAGUAAAUAUCCCUCAAGCUAUUUAUUAUAAAAUACAAGUGGAUCUAAGUUAGCAAAUUUGUGAAGUUAACAAAUAUGUUUUAACACUAUUUUUUCAUACAUAAGACUAUUAUAAUUUUUUUCAUCAAUUGGAGGCUUUAGUUUUUUCCAAGAGCAUGCAUUCCCACUUGUUUCUAUUGAAAAAUCAUAAGCCUAAUCAGUUGGAUUAAAGUAAUGUUGCAACUUGAAGAGAUUGAUGAGAGAUUUAUUGAAUAAUCAGAUUAGAUUGGUUUUUUUUUUAAAAGAGUCAGAUUAGAUUGUUGUUAACUACUCUCUAAUUUUAUUUUAUUUUUGGUCAAGAACUACUCUCUAAUUAAUUUUGUUUUAACAUGAAUAAAUAUGAUAUUGUUCAAUUUUUCGGUCCUCUUUAUUUUUUUAAUAAACAUGCAAAAUGCAGUGAUAAAAGGAAUAAUUAGUAAUGCCGAUUGAAGUAGUAGUAGACAAGAUAAUCAAAAACGAGGACGCCAACUACCACAAGCCACCAAAAGACAUAAAAACAUAAUCUAAAUUUAAAUAGUAAAUUGUUUAAAGACUAAAUUACAUAUCAUGUGAGUAAUUCAACAACAAUUCCGAAUAAAAUUACAUAAGAUUAAUUUACCUAAAGUAUAAUUUAAAGGGGUGAAGAUCCUCUCCAUUUAACAAAAUAAAUGGAGUUUUGCUAGUUUGAGAGAGAUAGACACAAGAAAUAGAUGGUGGGUCCUACUACUAAGUGGAUUCCACCAUCAUUAAUUAUAUUUUACUUUUUUCAAGAUUUUAUGUGUCUUUAUCUCUCCAAAUUGAAAAAAUGGAGAAACGCAUAAAUGGAGAGGAUCUUAAUCCAAUUUAAAGACUAGGCUAAACUAAUUAACUAGAUGCCAAUUUGAAUUAACUGGAUUGGGCCAAGUGUCCAAGUUGUGUUCUCUCCAAUUGUCACUUGCAUACAUACUUUUAAACUAAUUUUUUGAAUCUUUUUUUAUACAUUGUUUCUACCAUAUAUUUUUGUCUCUGGAUCUUAUGAUGUUUCAACAAUAACUUAAAUUAAUAUCUUCACCAAAAAAAAAAAUAACUUAAAUUAAUAUGCAUCUAAUAGAUAACAGUCAUUUAUAUAUUGAAAUAAGAAGCGUGUGAUUCCAAUUAAUAAUUACAGUUAACUUAAAUGGACCAAUAGAUUAUUCGUUUUGUUUAUUCAACUUUUUAGAAUGGUCUUCCUGCAUGUUUAACAAGCAGUAUCAACCACUUCUUUUAGUCAAAAAAAAAAUCAACCUCUUCUUGUUAAAAUCAAAUAAAAAUAUUUAUUUUAAUGAAAUUGAUAGAGACUCAUACCUUGUAUGAUUGCCCGGGGUUUUCUUUUGUUUUGUUUUUUUAUAGUAAGGACGGGACUUUUCUAAUAUAAAAUGAUUCAAAUUCUAAGCUAUAGUUUCACGUGAUUGACUUACUUCUCUACUAUGCAUGUUGGAUUUAGAAAACUUUAACUAGUUGGAAUUUCCUUAGUAGAGAAUUUAUGAAAACAACUUUGGCAGUUUAUAAUUUUUUUUUUCUUCUUUCAAAAAAUAAUAAUAAUUGUUUUUCUAACUUAUUUUCAUAUGCUCUCUACGAUUAAUCAAGUGAUUUGAUUUAAAAGUUCUACCAAUGACACAUUGUUCAAGAAAACUUGAGAGAAUUUAUUUUCAUAUGCUCUCGAUGAUAACUUAUGAAAACAAACUAUGAUUUGAGGGACAGAUAGUUAUUUUGAUAUUUAAAUGUGUAACGAAUAGUCGCAGUAGUAUCUCAAUGUAUUUGAAUUUUAAAAUAGUCUUUGAUUUUCAUUUUGUUGGUCAAAUAGUCUCGGAAGUGACAAUAAAUAAGUAUAUUGAAGUACUAAUAUGACUAUAUUAACAAAGUAUUUUAAUGUUACAAACUAUUUUGACUAACGAAAUGCAUAAUCGUAGACUAUUUUAAAAUUUUGAUACAUUGAUGGACUAUUAUAUGGCUACUCCUUACAUACAAAAUGAUAAUUACCUUUUAUAAAUAAAACACAAUAUGUUGAGAAUAAGAACAACAACCUUAUGCAAAACUUGUGGAAUCAAAUAAGUGCACAUUUGCUAACUUAUAUGAGAAACAAAUUGUUUUUAUAGUUUUGUUACAAAAAAUAGUUUUUUUUAAACAAUUAGAUAAAGCACAAUUAUGCAAUAAGUGUUUAAUUGUUAAUCCACAUGGAUAUUUAUCUUCGAGCAUGUAGAAACCCGCCUAUAAAUUUGAAGCAUCAUAUGCACAACAUUACUAAAACAAAAUGAUGCCUCUAAGCUCAUAUUUGUCUGUUGCACUUAUUGCUAUUUUAUUUUCAUAUGCAUCUUCUGCAAUUGAUACUAAUACUUAUGAAGAUAACUUCCUUCAAUGUCUUUCUAGUUAUUCACAUAACUCAACUUCAAUCUCUAAAGUUGUGUACACCAAAACCAAUCCCUCUUACUCACCAGUACUCAAAUUUACAACUCAAAAUCUAAGAUUUGCAUCCUACAAAACACCAAAACCACUUGUCAUCAUCACACCUCUAGAACCUUCCCAUAUUCAAACAGCCAUAAUUUGUUCCCAAAAUCAUGGCCUCCAGAUUCGAACCCGUAGUGGGGGCCAUGACUUUGAGGGCCUAUCCUAUGUUUCAGAAAUUCCAUUUGUUGUCAUUGAUCUCAUAAACUUCAAGGAAAUUGAUGUAGAUGUAGAAAGCAGAACUGCUUGGGUUCAGUCUGGUGCAACACUUGGUGAACUUUACUACACAAUUAGCCAAAAAAGCCGAAAUCUUGCUUUCCCAGCUGGUGCUUGUCCUACAAUAGGUGUUGGUGGACAUUUCAGUGGUGGCGGCUAUGGAACCUUGUUGCGUAAAUAUGGUUUAGCCGCGGAUAAUGUAAUCGAUGCUCACAUAAUUGAUGUGAAAGGUAGGUUACUUGACAGAGAAGCAAUGGGUGAAGAUUAUUUUUGGGCUAUUAGAGGUGGUGGAGGAGCAAGUUUUGGAGUCAUAAUUUCAUGGAAGAUAAAACUUGUUGAAGUUCCAGCAACAGUGACGGUGUUUACAGUUCCAAGAGCAUUGGAACAAAAUGCAACAAAGCUUGUUCACAAGUGGCAGUAUUUGGCAAGUAAAAUUGAUGAAAACAUAGCCAUCAAUAUUGUCUUUCAAAGGAUAAAUUCAAGUAAAAAAGGCGAGACAACAAUUCUAGCUAUAUUUCAAGCCUUGUUUCUUGGAGGUGUAGAUAAACUCAUUCCCUUGAUGGAUCAAAAGUUUCCUGAGUUGGGUGUGGUCAGAGAAAAUUGUAUUGAAAUGAGUUGGAUUGAAUCGGUUCUUUACCUUUUUCAAUUUCCGAAAGGUGCAUUACCUGAAGUGUUGCUUAACAGAACACUAGCUGCAAACAGCCCAAGAUUUAUUUACAAAGCAAAAUCUGAUUUUGUGAAAACUCCCAUUCCUGAAAAUGGAUUAGAAGGAAUAUGGUCUUUGUUUCAUGAAGAAGGUGCCAAAGGUGCAAUGAUGAUAUGGUUUCCUUAUGGUGGAAUAAUGGAUACUAUUUCAGAGUCUGAAAUUCCAUUUCCACAUAGAAAAGGAAAUUUAUAUCAUAUUCAUUACCAGGUUGAUUGGCAACAGGAAGGUGAUGAGGUGGAAAAACUGCACAUUAAUUGGAUUAGAAAACUUUAUAAUUACAUGGAACCUUUUGUUUCAAAGUCUCCAAGAGCUGGAUACAUCAAUUAUAGAGACCUUGAUAUUGGUGUGAAUAACAUUGAUGGAUACACAAGCUACAAGCAAGCUAGUAUCUGGGGUGUUAAAUACUUCAAGAACAAUUUCAGAAGAUUGGCAAAUGUGAAGACCAAAGUUGAUCCUCUAAACUUCUUCAGAAAUGAACAAAGUAUACCUUCUCUUGUGUCCAAGGGACACAAAUAAAUUAAUUGGAGUAGCUAAGGUCACGAUAAUAAAAAAUAAGCUGUUUUGUUAUUUCUCUUUUAUAUGUGUAUCUUUUCUUUAUAAAUAAAGGUUUAGGGGAGUGGGGUCUAGAGCUAAGGGGUAAAGGCUUCAAGGCUCAAAGAGCAUUUUUAGAGAGAUAAUUACAUAUUACAUGCCAACAAGGUCUUCUUCAAUCGGGAGCAAGAAGAUUUCCACAUCUUUUUUGGAUGAGUAUCUGAUGCAGCAUUCAUCAACCCCUAGAUAUUCUAUGUGUGUAUUUAUUUUUACAUGUUUGUUUACUUUUACUUAAAACAAUGAUACUUGAAUAAAUUACUAAAGUUUGGUGUUAAACUUGACAUAUAUUUGUGUUUAUUGAAAGGAUAUUCCUGCGAAAACUGCUGGUUACACCCCCUAUAUUUGUAGUUAGCCCUUUGACACCAUUUAAUCAACAAAAUGGCCAAAGAAUGCCUAUAACUAGCCGGUAACAGUUGCUAAAACUUUCGAGAUACAUGCUCAUAUAUCUUCAACGACAACUUUGAAUGACAUCACAAGUUAGCUAAACUAUCAGUACAUUUAUUAGUUUCUCGGAAAAUAUGCUUAAUUUUGGCCUCAUGAUCUUCUUAUUGGGAACAACAAGACCUCACCCAUUAGUCGCGCUUACAUACUUGCCCUACAAACAAUCAACUACAUUAACUUUAGAAUCCAUAAGAAGCCUCCUACAUGUUAAAUAUCUUUUUCUUGUGAAUUGAAGACCCUCUUAUCAUCUACUCCUAUGCUGGUCAGAGUUAUACCGAAAAAAUUGGACAAACCUCAAAUUUAAGCACCAUUUGCAUCCCUUAACACCCCUCCGAAACAUGUUAACCUAGAAUUUUGAUGAGCACGAUCCGUAUUGAUAUGAACGCAUCCUGGCAGGGGCAGUUUCCAGUUGAUACUCAUACACGUCUUCAUCUUUAUCGUUGGUUGAAAUAAGGCAGCAUCAUUAUGGUAGUCACUCACUUGUUUGAAAACAACAAUCCGAAGUUUGUUACGUAAAUUCUAGGAUAAGUAUGUUUAAGUAAAUUCUGUUCAAGUACACUUUUGGUGAGAUUUGAGAAUUUGAUAGAGUUUGGGAUAAUUUGGCUUAUUUUGGCUUUUUAAAACCUGCCAUGAUGUUACUUAGAAUUAUGGGAUGAAACUAUAAGUUGUAUUCCAUGCUCUGUUGUAAACAUUUUGAGAAUUACAUAAGUAUUUAUAUUGUUUACUGUUUUUAUGCAUUUCGAAUUUCAAUUUGUUUGGAAAAGAUAUAUUUGCACACAGUUUUUUAGAACUAGCAUGCUCAUGUUCUUGUAUAAAAAAAAAAAAAAAAAUCAAAAUGCUCAUAUAACAUGUUGGCUGGACCACCUUCAUGUUGUUCAACCAUCGCAAGUCCUCGUCUCCAGCUAUGAAAUGACGACUUGGAAGGCAACUAUUCCAGACUGGAUCAAGGUCCAAUCCUAAAGUGUGAAGGCUUAAUAAAGAUUCUGAUCCAAAUAUGGAUCACCUACUCCUACAUAAAUAAGGCUGCAAAACAGAGAAAGGGAUUACUCGGAUCACAAUCACACGAUUACUCGGAUCACAUGUCCAGACUGGAUCUAGGUACUCUUAUCACAAUCACACGAUUACUCGGAUCACAUGUCCGAGAAAGCACAACCGCCUAACAUCCUCGUGCUUACGCGGAAACUUCAACCGUCUAUAAAAAAGGAGUCACCCACUCUAAAAAAUUAGCACACUCUCAUUUAAAAAAAGCCUCUUUAUUACAAGUACAUCAUUUUGCUCCGGUGAAAGACAACCGCAUCCCACCUACUCUGGUCGUCGUCCUUACACUUUCUUUUCCACUUGAAAUGUAUAAUUUAAAGACUAAACUAAUUAAUUAAGUGGAUUGGAUUGAACCAAGUUAUAUUCUCUCCAAUUGUCAAUUGCAUACUACAAAACUAUUAUUUUUUUGUGCAAGUUAACUCUUUAUUAAAGCUUUGUUUUAAACAUAUUUCCUUGUCUCUGAAUUGGACUACGAUGUUUAAACAAGAAUUAAUACUUAAAUAUGUUUCUGAUAGAUGAGUUCAUUUUUAUAUAUUGAAAUAAGAAGCAUGCUCCCAAUUAGCUCGCUUUCUUUAUGCAAAAUUUAGAAUGGUAGUAAGUAGCAACAACCACUUCUUAUCAAAUAAAAAAUUGAUUUCAAUGAAGUUAGAUAAAACAACAAAAGAAAAAACACCAUACCCUGCCGGCUUAACAGGGAGAACUAUUGUAUAAAAUUGAAAAAGUCAAGAUUCAAAUGUGUAGUUUCACAUGCUUGACUUGUCUACCAUAGUAGUUUUAGCAGAUACUUUAUUUAGGAGAUAAGCGUUUGAGAAAUUUUUCAUAAGUUGUUUUUCAACUUAUUUCUAUAAAAAUUCCUAGGAUAACUUAUGAUAACGGUUUAUAAUAUAUGAAAACAGACUGUUUUAUUCUUUCUUUUUUGUAAUAUAGUUUAUAAAAUGAAACGAAAAAAAUUAUACGUAAGCACUUAUUUGAUAAGCGGUUAUGUAAUAAGUGUUUAAUUUGUCUAUCCACUGUAGAUUUAUUCUCUACACCCACUAGAGUCUAAAAUCUAGCACAAGUGGUUGGUGCGAAGUUUAAAAAAAUGAAACAAAAUAAAGUUUACAUAAGCACUUAUUUAAUAAGCGGAUUAUAGAUUUCAACUCCAAAUUAUUCUAUAUACCAAUAAAAAUUAGAGCAUAGAGUGACACUUAUAAAUUUGAAGCAUCUUAUGCACAACACUACACUAACAAAAAAAUGAUGCAUCUAGGCUCAUACUUGUCUAUUGUACUAAUUGCUAUUUUAUUUUCAUUUACAUCUUCAGCAAUUGGUACUACUACUACUACUAAUGAAGAUAAUAGCUUCCUUCAAUGUCUCUAUAGCUAUUCACAUAACUCCACUUCAAUCUCUAAAGUUGUGUACACCAAAGCCAAUUCAUCAUACACAUCAAUACUCCAAUUUUCAACUCAAAAUCUCAGAUUUGCAACCAACAAAACACCAAAACCACUUGUAAUUGUCACACCUCUAGAAAUUUCCCAUAUUCAAGCAACCGUAAUUUGUUCCCAAUACCACAGCCUGCAGAUUCGAAUUCGCAGCGGCGGUCACGACUUUGAGGGUCUGUCUUAUGUCUCUGAAGUUCCAUUUGUUGUCAUUGAUCUCAUAAACUUCAGAGAAAUUGAAAUAAAUGUACACAAAAAAACUGCAUGGGUUCAAUCUGGUGCAACACUUGGUGAACUUUACUACGCAAUUAGCCAAAAAAGCAAAACUCUUGGUUUCCCUGCAAGUGUUUGUCCUACUGUAGGUGUUGGGGGACACUUCAGUGGUGGUGGAUAUGGAACCUUGUUGCGUAAAUACGGUCUUGCAGCCGAUAACAUCAUUGAUGCCUACAUAAUUGAUGUGAAGGGUAGGUUUCUUGACAGAGAAGCAAUGGGUGAGGAUUUCUUUUGGGCUAUUAGAGGUGGUGGAGGAGCAAGUUUUGGUGUCAUAGUUUCAUGGAAGAUUAAACUUGUUGAAGUUCCAUCAAUUGUGACAGUGUUUACUGUUCCAAAAACAUUGGAACAAAAUGCAACAAAGCUUGUUCACAAGUGGCAAUUUUUGGCAAGUAAACUUGAUGAAAAUAUAGCCAUGAAUAUUGUCUGGCAAAGGGUAAAUUUAAAUUCAAGUAAAAAAGGUGAGUCAAAGUCACCGGUACUAGUUUUAUUUCAAGCUUUGUUUCUUGGAGGUGUAGAUAAACUCAUACCCUUGGUUCAAGAGAAGUUUCCUGAGCUUGGUUUGGUUAGAGAAUAUUGUAUUGAAAUGAGUUGGAUUGAAUCUGUUCUUUACUUUUUUCAGUUUCCAAAAGGUUCUACACCUGAAGUGUUGCUUAACAGAACACAAGCUACACUUGAUAUAUUCAAAGCAAAAUCUGAUUUUGUGAGAAUUCCAAUUCCUGAAACUGGAUUAGAAGGCAUAUGGCCUUUAUUUGAUGAAGAGGGUUCCAAAGAUGCAAUGAUGAUAUGGUUUCCAUAUGGUGGCAAAAUGGAUACUAUUUCAGAGUCUGAAAUUCCAUUUCCUCAUAGAAGUGGAAACUUAUUCAUGAUUCAAUACUCGGUUCAUUGGCAUCAAGAAGGUGAUGAGGUGGAAACACUGCACAUUAAUUGGAUUAGAAAACUGUAUAGUUAUAUGGAACCUUUUGUUACAAAGUCUCCGAGAGCUGCAUAUAUUAAUUACAGAGACCUUGAUAUUGGUGUGAAUAACAUUAAUGGGUACACAAGCUAUAAGGAAGCUAGUAUUUGGGGUGUUAAGUACUUCAAAAAUAACUUCAAAAGGUUGGCAAAAGUUAAGACUAAAGUUGAUCCUC
Molecule: long non-coding RNA, 63965 nt
Filed under: Medicago truncatula (barrel medic)
Lineage: Eukaryota; Viridiplantae; Streptophyta; Magnoliopsida; Fabales; Fabaceae
Description: long non-coding RNA (MTRU_LNC002242)
Rfam family: U1 spliceosomal RNA (bases 28705-28864)
Source: RNAcentral